UAUGGCUCUGGCAUUUCAAAAGUUAUAUCAACUGUAUCCCCGCUUUGCAAAUUGAGCUUAUCGUUCGAUAUUUGUCCCUGCCAAAGAAAACAUUCUUUAUAUACAACAUCGCGCAUGAGGUUUUUUCUUUUUUUGGCGUAACAAUCGCGCAUUUUUAUAACCCAAUCUUCCUUGCUUAUGCAGGUCCGCAACUCAGUACGCUUGGUAUUAUUUAUAUCAAUCCUGGCAAGAGGAUGACUAUCUUUACAUCUGAUAUAAGGGCCGAACUGAGAAGGACUUGAGCAAUAAAAGCAUAACAGAGUCAGCCCUUCAAAAUUACAACCAUCACUCGGGGGGAUAUCAAAAGUGAUUUUAUUACCAUCGUUGACAAACUCGAACCAAUCAGGAACAUAAUUCCCAUUGAGAAAAAUGCCACCAUAUCCGCAAGAAGUCCAUCCCUAUAUACACAGUGCAAGUGUCAUAUAUAUAUACAUGUACAUGUGCGUUGUGUGUGUGCAUGUGCCCAAUAGGAAGACAAUUAAAGAGAGAGAUACCUUUAGGACUUUCCUCAUAAAAUCAGCGGUGAGUUCGGCGCAAUACGUCAUAUCAAUCCAUGUCAUGGAGUUUAAUGACUUAUCCAAGUCUGGAACCUCAGUGAGUGCAUGUGAAUCACGUACAUUUAGCUCUCUUAUAUUCGACAUUUUCGAAAAAUUUGGCAUUGUUAUCAAACGAUAGCAACGAGACGCAUCCAGAAAUUUCAAAUUUGUUGGUAAACCAUAGAUUGUAUGAAGGUUAUGGCAGUAACCUAACCACAAAUUUUCAAGCUUUGAAAGACCACUGAGGCUGGGUAGGGUAUGAAAAUCAUUAGAUGAGAGAUCUAAAUUUCUUAAAAAGUCUAAGCUGAGUAACGAAUCGGGAAAUUGCAAAUGAGUGAGAUUCGUCAAUCCUAGAGAUAAAUGAGUGAGAUUCUUCAAUCUUACUGUGGAACGCGGUACUUGUCUUAUGGCUGUCUCAUAUGCUUUAAGUACUCUCAAUGAUAUCAUAUUCCCUAAAUCCUCGGACAGUUCACUGAAUUGCCCACAAAAAAUCAAGAACAAGAGUCUGAACGGAUUUGGACCUGUAGAAAUCCCCAGGAAGAGAAAUAAGAUUCUUGCAGCCUGUGAGGUUCACCAAAGAAAGUUUUUUAAGAUGACCAAUGGAGGGGUGAAUCUCGGACAAACUCUCACACCAUUCCAAUAUCAACUCUUCAAGACUUGGGAGAUUUGAUAAGUCUGGUGAUUUUUCUAAGUCAGAGCAACCACUGAAAUCAAGGAUUUUCAAGUUUUUAAGCGACUGUUGCACAAAAUCCAAGAAAAAUUAAAAUUAAUAUCCAAAAGGAAUAUCUCAUAAAAUAAAUAAAUAAAGAGAGAAGGAAAUCCAAAAACAAAUAGAAACUUAACAUCAUCAUGUGUAAUCGAUUGUACCUUCGAGCCCUCCCAAACUUGUACCAGUUUGCUAUACUUUAUCUCUAAAAUAACUAGUCUUGGUUGAUCAAAGAAGUCAUCUGGUAUGGACUUUAAAGGGCAUUCAUUCCAACACAACCAUAUUAACUCUUUGGGGAGAUGUUUGUAUUCUCCAUUGAGUUGCACGUUGUAGAGCUGGAGCAGUCUCAGUUUCUUCAUAUUGGCAAAUGCUUCUGUACUGAUACUUGGAGACAGAAGAUCAGGGAAACCUACAACAAGUCCUUCAACUUCUUUAGUUCCCUGUUAACAACACAUUAUACUGGGUAAGAAAAGGAUUAUGUGCAUCUAUUUUACGUGAUUUUGCUAAUUGAGCUUCUUAAUGCGAAUACAUAUAUUUACACAUAAAGGUCGUACCCAGUGCACAAGGCUCCCGCUUUACGCAGGGUCUGGGAGAGGUGAAUGUCGGCUAGCCUUACCCCCAUUUAUGGAGAGGCUGCUCCCAAGUCUCGAACCCGAGACCUACCGCUCAUGGGCGAAGGCACUUGCCAUCGCACCAAGUGCGACCUCUGAAUACAUAUAUUUACACAUAAAUGUUUUUAAUGUAUGACAGCUAUACGUGGGUUACAUAUUUGCUUUUCUUGUACGAUGCAUUAAUACAAAAUUUUAUAGGGAAUGUACUUACAGAUUUAUCUCUCAAUACAUCAGUGACCUCCUGCUGGUUCCACAACCUACUCCAUUCUCCAGGGUGACGAGGGGAUUUUUCAGAAAUGAUUAAUUUGGCCAUUUCUCGAAGCAAAUCAUGUAUAUUCAACUUGUUGUCUUCAACAGUUAUAAGGCAUCAUUCACGAAGGACACUCAUUCCUAUUGUCGCAAAAAAGUCACAUCCAUCUAAUAUUUUUGUGACAUAGUCAUUAUCCCAUCCAAUGAAGAAACAAGAUAUGUCAAGGAAUAUAGCCUUCUGUUUAUCAUCUAGCCCUUCAAAGCUUAUUCUUAGUCGUUGUAUUAUUUCUCCUUCAGGAGUUGUUUUCAAUUUUACCAAUUGAUUUUCCCACUCUGCUAUGGUUCUUCCAAUUAAAAAAGUGCCUAAAACUUCAAGUGCUAGUGGCAAACCUCCACAGUAAGAAACGAUCUUCCUUGAGAGUUCAAGAUAUCCUUCAUUAGGCCAACAAUUUCUAAAGGCAUGCCAACUAAAGAGCUCCAGAGCUUCUUCUUCAUUCAUUUUAUGAAGCGGAUAUAUCUUGUCCACUCCAACUUGGCGUAGUAAAUGUUCAUCUCGUGUCGUUAUGAUAAUUCUACUUCCUAAGCCAAACCAAUCACAAUUUCCAGCUAUUGCAUUUAGUUGUUUCAUUUUGUCUACAUUGUCAAUAAUGACAAGUACGCUUCUACGUUGGAGAUGAUAUUUUAUCAGGCCGAUACCUUCAUCAACACUGGUUAUCUCAGGCUUGGUCUGUUUCAAGAUGUCAGAAACAAGUUUUUUUUGCGAAACAACCAGAUCUUUUUCACUAACGUUGUCAAGGAAACUUUUGAAUUGGAACUCAUGAUGAAUUUUGUUAUAAAUGGCUUUGGCAGCUGUUGUUUUACCCAAUCCACCCAUCCCCCCAAAUUCCAACCAUGCGAACAUCAUCUGAUCCACCACUUGAAAGAUAACUGAUAAUAUCUUGAACGCGAGAAUUGAUUCCAACCAGGUGAUUGGCCACAUGUAAUUUGUUUGCUCUCCGAAGCCAUUCCGGAAUAAUCUUGUCAACAAUUUCUCUAAUACGCUGUGCUUCGCAACUGAAAAUUGAAUUGGCAAGCUUAGUAAGCUCAGUAGGAGCUAUUAGUACACAAACAAUUUUCUUUCCUUCGUGUGUGUGUGUGUGUGUGUGUGUGUGUGUGUGUGUAUACACACUAACUAGCUACUAGCUAGUAUGUGAGUUUGUGAUCAACUUCAAUAAAAGAAACAAAUUCAUUCACUGAUAUAUUAAAGUUUGGUGUAUCAAUUAAACUCAUUAUGGUUUAGAUUUUAGAAGAAAUUGGAGAAAUGGUCCAUGAACUAUGAUCGAAUUGUAGCUUUGGUUCUUAAACUAAAAAUUCAUUAAAUCUCGUCCCUGAACUUAACAAAAUAUGGAACAUUGGUCCCUCCAUGUUAACACCGUAAGAUUUUCUGUUAAUUUGAUAACGUCGUCUUUGUGGGCUCCAUAUUUUUGUUUAUUAGAUGCCACGUUGCUUGAAAAUUCAAAUAAAAGAAAAUAAAUACAAGCAUUGAGAAACAAAGAGAAAAAAAAAUACUUUAAAUUAUAAAAGUUAACUCUCUCCCAUCCUCCCUUCCGCCUCACCUUCUCCAAACCCCAGCCACACCAUUGUAGCACUUUCCCAACAGCCAAAACAAAAGAAAAGUUCCUCAUCCAAAUUUGGAACACACCUCACCUUGCAAACGACUUCACAAUGACAUUCAUCUACGCUGUCUCGAAAGGUAAGAUUCAAGAAAUUUGUGGGAUGCGGGUUCGGGGUUCGGGUGAAGGCUGUGGUCCGUGGGCUAAAGGUUGGGGUCGGCUGGGGAGUGGGGAUUAGGGAUUGGGGGUUGGAAGUGGGAGGUUGACGGGGUGGGAAUCAACGAUUGAAGGUGAAGGGGUGGGCUGCGAGCCUGCGAGUGUUGGUGGGAUGAGGUAGGCCUGCAAUUAUAUAUAUAUAUGUAUGUAUGUAUGUAUGUAUGUAUGUAUGUAUAUAUAUAUGUAUGUAUGUAUAUAUGUAUAUAUAUGUAUGUAUAUAUAAUAUAGGUGAAACUAACAUGUAAAGUUGUAAACACUUUUAACUAAAACUGAAAGGAAUUGGUUACGAAGGACUAACGCUCCAUAUUUUAUCAAGUUCAAGGACAAAAUAUAAUGAAAUUUUAGUUUAGGAACCAAAGCUACAAUUUUCCUCUAGAUUUGAUAUGAGAUUUAAGGCGUAUUAAUUAAGCAUGUUAAUUAGAGUAAUGCAACUUAGAUAUUGAAAAGCACGUGAAUGAUUACCUAUUAUCAGUGAUUUGAAGAUGGUAGCCAGACAAAUUUGCAGCUUCUCUAAGAGCAUUUCUCCACUGCUUUACCCUUUCUUGUUUUUCUUCACGUUUCUUGUCAUCUUUUUCUUUACGAAUGUUCUUUUUGUGUUUCUUAAAUGCUUGGGCUAAAACUCCAUUCUGGUUCCUGACAUGUGAAGGAUCAACGUGAUAGAAUAUUGGCAAAACAUGGCGCUCCAGUUUGUCUCUGCACUCGAUGAUCUUCAUCAGCUCAUUAAGACACCAACUCGAACUCGCAUACCUCUUUGAGAAGACAAUGAUAGAGAUCUUCGAUUCUUCGAUUGCCUGGAACAGUUCUUUUUGUAUUUCUUCCCCUCUUUUUAGAUCGUCCUCAUCAAUAUAAGCCUGGUAUCCCCUGUCCGUUAAUGCCCUGUGGAGGUGGCCCGUGAAACCAUUGCGUGUGUCUACACCGCUGAAGCUCAAGAACACGUCGUAAUUCCAAAGUUUUGACUUGGAGGACGAUGAAGAGGAGGCUUCGUGGGUCGUCAUGGCGGUAUCCACCAUUAUGGCGCUGCAGUGGUUCAGAUCACGACUGAAAAAUGGCAGUAGUUGUGCUCGUGCUGUCGAACGGAUGAUCCUGAAAUACCUAAACCCAAGUCAAGCUCCUUCAGUCAACAAGAACAAAGUUUUAAUAUAAUAAUGUUGGUGUAUGGACUUGAGAAACGACAUAAUGUUGGCCGGAAAGUGCAGAGAAAGAGAGAGGAAAAGACGAAUGAAAGGAGAAAAGACUAUCCAAAUGAUUCUUGGCUGUGAUUACAGCUAUUCAUAGGAGAAACAAUGGACAUAUUUUCAUAGGAGAAACAACCUGCCCACUUCAUUUAUAAUAUAUUUCAACAGAGAUAUUUUAAUAGGAGAAACAACUUUCGUUUGUACUAGAAAUUUUUACCCGCGUGUUGCUACGUGAUUUGAAAUUGUAAGAAAGAUUAUCUUUGAAAUAUAUAAUAGAUUGUGUGAUUGAAGAUUAAUACUAUUUACAUUGAAAACGUUGGAAAAAGUUUUACAUACAAAAGAUUUUACGAUACAAUCCACAUCAAAAGAUGGUAAAUUUUUUUCUAUCUACAUGCAUUAAGUUAUGGAAUGAUAUAUAGAUAUAUAUAUAUAACUGAGUUCCAGAAUACGUAAACUUCAUAACUUGGAAAUUUUUUGACAAAUUAAUCAGAUUCAACUGUGGGAUAGCAAGGUCGCCUAUAAAGUUGUGAAGUCGUGGAAGCAUAAAGGACAAAUAACAAAUGAGUUUUGAGAAAUUAUUCCACAAAUGUCAUUUUGCAAAAUGUAUUAAAGACGAUUGGGUACAAGAUUAGUAAUCAUGAGUAGUGUAACAACAUCAACAAAAUAACUAUAAUCCAUAGUUGUUGAACAUAAUUCAAAUUUCGUUUGCAAAAACAAAAGAAAAAGAAAACAGACUUACAAUAAUUCAGCCUUCAAUCCUGAAGUCCUACUCAAAGAGCCAAACUUGAAUGCAAGCUUUCUGAAAUCUUCCAAACAAUACAGAUAAAAAGGUAACAUCCUAGUCAGAAACGAACCGAGGUGCAAGCUUUCUUAGAAACCCAGAUGACAAAAUCAACAAAAGAGAAUGGAAAAAUGACUUACACUUUUAAGGCAUGCUCAAAUCUUGAUCUAAAAUUUGUGGUGGGUCGAUUGUUGGCCACCAACUCUAAAUGAAGAAUUCAUCAGAAACUAGAAAUUUAAACAAAGAAUUUUCCAAAAUCAACAUUUACUAAAAACCAGUUACUUGGUUAUCAUGCAUGAUGGCUUGCCAAAGACUGAAUUAAGGAAUGCACAACUUUACUUUUUAUGAUUAUUUUCAAUGAUAGCUAAAAGGUCAGAUCCAAAUGAAAAUAAAACUUAGGACUUCACAAAACCAAUUAAAAAUCUAAUUCCAAAGUUACAAACACCCACCAAAUGAUUCCAGAUAAAGUUUUAAACUCAACGUCAGACCCAAAUGAAAUUAAAAGUUAGGACUUCACAAAACCAAUUGAAAAUCUGAUUCCAAAGUUCCAAACACCCACCAAAUGAUUCCGGAUAAAGUUUAAACUCAAAAACCCAACAGAAACAAAAGCAUUGGUGUGAAUUAACUGUAUCUAAUUGAAGAAACUAAAACAAAAGUAAAGCAAAGUACAUACCUCAAAAUGUCAAGCAACUAAGUUCUUCCUCCGACGACCCAAAAUUCUGAAAAUUCCACACAAAAAAAGAGUAAGCCCAUUAGCAAUUCAUAGCUUUCAAAAUUAGCAAAAACUUGGGCAACAAUAAAGACGCGUUGAGAACCAUCACUCUUUCUCCUUAUAUAUUUGAAAAGAUAUUUUAUAAGCAGUUUAUGUAGUCAUUCAGAUCAUGUUGCAUAUAAAUUCCUUUUCUACAGAGUUCAUAAAAGUAUGGCAGUUUAUGGUAUCUGUUGAAUGACAUGGUUGAAAGAUUUCAAAUUGAUAUAUUCAAUUUAUGUGUAAAACUAUAACAUAUAGCUAAAGCUAUUGGGUCUAUAUAUCCAUAUCAAUCAUGUCGUAAUUGAAUGUUUAUCAAUGUAAAUAGAUGAUUUCAGUCAUGUGAUAACAUGUUUCUUGAUAGUAUACGCUGAAGAUUGGUCUAAGUGGGAUAUGAAUCGACCAAAAUCUUAAGAAGAGACUCUUUUAACUUUUAACCAAAAAUGAACACCACAGUACUACACUAAGUUUUAUCAUGCAUAAAAUACACAACACUGAUUGCCACUUUUAGAAAACAACAAAACACUCAAAACCCAGAAACAGAAACACACUUUAGGACUCAAACUCCCCAAAAACAUAUGAGAGAGAUAGAGAGAUAGAGAGAGAGAGAGAGAGAGAGAGAGAGAGAGAGAAUAAAAACAAUAUUAUUUUUCACACAAACUCAAAAUUGCUUAUAAAAUUACAAAUCAAAACAAAUGAAAGCAAAUCCAAAAUUGCCCUAAAUUAAAUCUGAUUAGUUAAAUGUUUGUUGCCCUACAAAUGUCAUUACACCCGACAAAACUUGCUUUGAAGUUGAUAUUUUGGUCAAUCCGGGGGAAAAUGAGCUAUUGCUUUUGGAGCAGUUGUCAUGGAGAUUACCAUCUCCCUGUUGAAUGAUCUAAAAAAGGACUUACAGCUUCUGGUGGCCAUAAUAAUUUAGGAGGUCCUUCGCUCCAGAUUUUCUCAAUAACUUUCCUUUUCGUGGCUGGUAGGAUUGCAACUCCAAGAAUUGCUCUGAAGAGAUAUAUGCAAACAAAAUCAAACUAAAACUAAGCUGUUGGAAGAAAUUUAGAAAACACAAACACCACAACUCAGAGUUAAAGUCAACAGAAACCAAAUGGUAGAAGUUGAAAAAAAUAUAUGGUGAUGAAUCGAGAACUUCAUUAAACUAACAGCAAUAAAAUCUCAUAUAAUCUGUCAAAAACCAAAAAAGAGAGAGGUAAUUUCAAAACCUUGUAACGCUGAGGCGUCGUACAGUUGUAGUAAUAAUAUAUGGUUGAUGCACCUGUUGCUCAAUCAAAUCCUCUGUCUGGCUAAAAAAAUAAAAAUCUAUAAAUACAUUCACGUCCAAUUUAUGAGAAAUCAUGGGAAAGUAAAUGCACUGAUAACGGAAUUAUGAAUAUGAACUUGCCAAAAAGAAAAAGAAAACUUCUUAUAGUGUGCCAAGAACAUCCUCCUACUCCUAGCAAUUUUUAAUGGCAUUGUCCACUUCUCAAUUCAUAAUUCAACCAAUAACUCAAAGUCUAUAGUGUUUGAAAAAGUGAUAUCUUAGUUGAUCACGAUGAUAAUUAAGCAGAUUAAAUGAUGACCCAUAAAGCAUACAAAUUCAGAAAAGAAAAGGUUCAAAACUGUCAUGAGAAAAUACAGAAUAUAUAAACAGGAAAUCAAAAAAAGAGAAGUGAAAAAGGAAGAAACAACCAAACAAAAUUAUUAGGUUUGGGAUAUACCUUUAUCUGAAACGCCACAAUCAUCAAAGUCAAACUUAAACAACAACAACAACAACAACAACAACAAAGCCUUUUCCCACUAAGUGGGAAAGUCAAACUUAAACAAUCCAAAAAUUUGUGGAAAAUACCAAUAAAUGCUCAACUAAAAACGAAAGAAACGUAGAAUAAGUUUACCUGUUCUGCCCCUAAUUAAACUGGAAUACAAUUCACCACUAAUAUUCCUUGGUGUAUGCUUUUCGCAGACGAUAUAGUGUUGAUAGAUGAAACUCAGGAAGGGGUAAAUGCAAAGCUUAACCUUUGGAGAGAAGUGUUGGAAUCUAAAGGUCUUCGCCUAAGCCGAUCAAAGACAGAAUAUAUGGAGUGCAAGUUCAGUGCAAAUGGAGGCCAAAACGAGUUAGGGGUGAGGAUCGGAGAUCAAGAAAUACUAAAGAGCGACCGUUUUCGUUACCUAGGAUCUAUCUUGCAAAAGAACGGAGAAUUAGAUGGAGAUCUCAACCAUAGAAUACAAGCUGGAUGGAUGAAGUGGAAGAGUGCAUCCGGCGUGUUAUGUGACCGCCGUAUGCCACUGAAGCUCAAGGGAAAAUUUUAUAAGGACGGCAAUAAGGCCGGCGAUGCUGUAUGGCACAGAAUGUUGGGCGGUGAAACAUCAAACACGUACACAAAAUGGGUGUAGCGGAGAUGAGGAUGCUUCGUUGGAUGUGUGGGCACACGAGAAAGGAUAAGAUUAGGAAUGAGGAUAUCCGGGGUAAAGUAGGAGUAGCCGAAAUUGAAGGAAAGAUGAGAGAAAAUCGGUUACGGUGGUUUGGACAUGUGCAAAGAAAGGCCUACUGACGCUCCGAUUAGAAGAUGCGACUAUGGGACAGAGGUUCAGGGCCGAAGGGGUAGAGGAAGACCUAGGAAAACUUUGGAAGAGACUCUAAGAAAAGACUUAGAGUACUUGGAUCUAACGAAGGACAUGACACAGGAUCGAGCACAAUGGCGUUCUAAGAUUCAUAUAGCCGAUCCCACUCAGUGACUUGGAUUUUCCAAGUCUCCAACCGAGAAGUUUUCCUCACUCGGAAAAUUAAGGGAACACUACCCCAACCUACAUGCUCCACUCAGAAAGCUUCAACAUACAAGCUUCAACAAAAGAAAAUUCAAAGAACUUAGCGAAGAAGGCUUUGGUGUAUUAACACAAUACGUUGAAAUGAAGGAAAGCUUAUUUAUUGAUAUCCCCGAUAAGCUACAAAUAUGUACAUAUACAUGAGUCAAAAUAAACACACAAGAGGGAGCCUUCACAAAGGUUGCUUAGGAGAAGUCUCAGCAGUCGGUAGAGCCCCAGAAAGAGAAGGCACCGGAGGGGGAUCAUUUGGAGCCUCAGUACUGGACAGAACCCUAGAAGGAGGAGGCAUCAGAGGUUGAUCAUUUGGAGCUUCAUUACGCGGUACAGCCCCAGAAGACGAAGGCAAUAAAUGCCUUUGGAACAAACCCACAAAUCUCUGAUGAUCAAGUAAAACCUGACCAUCAGUUUCCUUCAUCUGGUCAAGCUUCCUCUUCAUGUUUGUAGCAUAGUCAUGUGCGAGCCGGUGCAACUGUUUAUUCUCAUGCUUGAGCCCUCUAAUCUCCUGUUUGAGACUCAUCACUUCAGCCGCCAAUGAUUCAACUUGGCGGGUUCGAGCAAAUAGGCGUUGGGCCAUAUUAGACACAGAACCUGCACACUGAACACUGAGAGCCAGCGAAUCCUUAACAGCUAACUCAUCAGACCGUUUGGAAAGUAGUCUGUUAUCUUUGGGAGUGAGAAGGUUCCUGGCCACCACCGCAGCGGUCAUAUCAUUCUUCAUCACGGAAUCCCCAACGGUAAGAGGACCAGUAGGGGAGACGAAGGAUGGGCGCCAUAUGUUGUCUGGAGAAGGCGGGGCUGCCUCUUCAACAAGGUUCAAGUCAAAACGACGGUCGGAGGGGCCAGACAUUUUCAAAGGUGUUGAAGAGAGAAGAGGUCGGACAAAUCAAGAUCUUAGAAGUGCAAGAAUGAAGCUUCUACUGGUGGAGAUUCAAGUGUGCUUUGGAACUUAAUGCCAGCCCCUAUAAAAAUCUGCACUCGACGGAGCUUCAGAAAAUCGAAGAGGCGCCUGCUCAGAAAUCGAAGAGGCGUUUGCUUUCUCAAAAGCUGGGCUGCUUAGAGAUCACGAGGGUUGAUCUCAGAAAUCGAAGAGGCGUUUGCUUUCUCAAAAGUUGGGCUGCUCAAAGACCACGAAGGCCGAUCUCAGAAAAUCGAAGAGGCGCUCGCUUUCUCAAAAGCUGGGCUCCCCAGAGACCACGAGGGCCGAUCUCAGAAAUCGAAGAGGCACCUACUUUUCCAGCCUUGUCAGCACCUGUCACACGCACACUCAGCUUUGCGGAAAUUAUGGGCAUUCUGUCGAAGACUUCUGGGGAAGUAGAAAACACAUGAAUCUUACUGUUCAAUCACCCACUUCCCACACGCAACAAUAGCUCAUGGGUACCACAGAUAACUUUGCCAAAGUUCUCUGCCAAAGUUGAGCACGUGAAGCUUGCAGCUCCCACUACAUCGCUCUGACCAAGAAGGGUAAAAGAAUAGCAAAGAAACAGCACUAACAAAGUUUAGACCCAUAAAUUUUGAAGGUCUAGCUACCAUAUUAUUACCCACAAGGGUAAAGGAACAGUACCACUGCUGGAUAAUUGGAAAGUCCCUGUGUGUCAACCUCUGUGCUUCGUGGCAAGGUAGACUAGCAAACAUGCCCAACCUUUACUCACAUUCGAGAAAACACUCCCAAUAAGAUUGCUUGCUCCAAAAUCGAAGAGGCACCGUCCUCCGAAUCUCGAGAGCCAGACUCCCAACAUGACUACUUUCUUAAAAAUCGAAGAGAGGGUAAAGGAACAGUACCAUUGCUGGAUAAUUGGAAAGUCCCUGUGUGUCAACCUCUGUGCUUCGUGGCAAGGUAGACUAGCAAACAUGCCCAACCUUUACUCACAUUCGAGAAAACACUCCCAACAAGAUUGCUUGCUCCAAAAUCGAAGAGGCACCCGCCCUCCGAAUCUCGAGAGCCAGACUCCCAACAUGAUUACUUUCUCAAAAAUCGAAGAGACACUGCUCCCCGAAUCUUCGAGAGCCAGACCCCCAGCAUGAUUGCUUUCUCAAAAAUCGAUGAGGCAUCGUUCUCCGAAUCAAUCGAAGAGGCGCUCGCUUUCUCAAAAGCUGGGCUGCUCAGAGACCACGAGGGCCGAUCUCAGAAAUCGAAGAGGCACCUACUUUUCUAGCCUUGUCAGCACCUGUCACACGCACACUCAGCUUUGCAGAAAUUAUGGGCAUUCUGUCGAAGACUUCUGGUGAAGUAGAAAGCACAUGAAUCUUACUGUUCAAUCACCCACUUCCCACACGCAACAAUAGCUCAUGGGUACCACAGAUAACUUUGCCAAAGUUCUCUGCCAAAGUUGAGCACGUGAAGCUUGCAGCUCCCACUACAUCGCUCUGACCAAGAAAGGUAAAAGAAUAGCAAAGAAACAGCACUAACAAAGUUUAGACACAUAAAUUUUUGAAGGUCUAGCUACCAUAUUAUUACCCACAAGGGUAAAGGAACAGUACCACUGCUGGAUAAUUGGAAAGUCCCUGUGUGUCAACCUCUGUGCUUCGUGGCAAGGUAGACUAGCAAACAUGCCCAACCUUUACUCACAUUCGAGAAAACACUCCCAACAAGAUUGCUUGCUCCAAAAUCGAAGAGGCACCGUCCUCCGAAUCUCGAGAGCCAGACUCCCAACAUGACUACUUUCUCAAAAUCGAAGAGAGGGUAAAGGAACAGUACCAUUGCUGGAUAAUUGGAAAGUCCCUGUGUGUCAACCUUUGUGCUUCGUGGCAAGGUAGACUAGCAAACAUGCCCAACCUUUACUCACAUUCGAGACAACACUCCCAACAAGAUUGCUUGCUCCAAAAUCGAAGAGGCACCCGCCCUCCGAAUCUCGAGAGCCAGACUCCCAACAUGAUUACUUUCCUCAAAAAUCGAAGAGACACUGCUCUCCGAAUCUCGAGAGCCAGACCCCCAGCAUGAUUGCUUUCUCAAAAAUCGAAGAGGCAUCGUUCUCCGAAUCUCGAGAGCCAGAUACCACAGACCACUUUUUCAAAGUGCUCUGACAGAGUUAAAACAUGUGAAACUGGCAGCUCCCACUACCGUGCUAUGACCAAGCAGGGUAAAGGAAUAGCAUUACUACUUGUUGUUAGGGAGACUCCUAUAUAUGUCGACCUCCAUCCCCAACGGACAGGCAGACCUGCAAAAAUGCUCAACCCUUCAUCAUAUCUGAGAGGGCACUCCCAACGAAGCCUUUCGAAAUAUUCAGCUUUCUUUCCCCCCGAUAAUACCUCUGCAAACAAGCUAUACUACUAGAGCAAGAAUAUCUCAUAUCAUCAGGGUUAAAAGCAAGAGUAUCCCAUAUCAUGCUUUUUCCCUGUCUUUUCCUUUGGCCUUGUUUUUUACCUGCAAGACAAGGAGAAAGAGAGAGCAAUCAGUCAGCACUUGGAAUCAAGCUUCCAGCCAGGAACUGACUGCCUGGAACCCCUUACCUGAUUACUUACCUGGCAUUGCUCUCGAGUACUCAUCUUCAACAUCUUAUGUUUCCAGGGAAGAUUCCGCAUCUGCUUGAGGAACAGAUAGGGCAAGUGCGAAGGAUACAAGGAAGCAUGUGGAGACAAGCGUAACAGCACACGUGCCGAUACAUCCAUUACUCUGUCAAAAGCAAAAGUAUCCCAUAUCAGCAGGGUGGAACGUACUCUAGAUUUGAUGGACUUGUUUUGACCCUCAAAUUCUUCAGUCGGCCUUAUACUCUGGAGGAAACCAGAAAACCCUCCAGCUCAGUUCAAGAAUAAGCCUGUGGAAAGUUACUUCUUCAAAAGCAAAAGUAUCUCUCAUAUCAUCUCUUCUCAUUUUUUCUUCUCUUUAUCCUUCAUGCUGCUGCAAGAUGGGGAGAAGGUGAACAAUCAGUCGGAGCUCUGAUUGCUUACCUUGUCUGUCACCUCUUUCAGCAGACCCCCUAGCUCGGCGACUUGGGGGACUCCUACUACAUGGUUUGUAUCGCGCUUGACCAAGCCUGAAACUACAAGUAAGCUUCAAGUGAAAUUGAUACAUUACCUUGUGCAUCUCCACCAGUUAAAGAUACCACCCCUGGAUGGAGGAAGAGUACUUCCAGAGAAGAUGCCACAUCUACCUAUGAGACAGAUAAGGCAAGUCAAGACGACACCACACUCCGAUACUUAGAAGUUUCGUGAUUACGAGAUCAUUCUCCCACAAUAUUUCCUAAUGUCAUUUGUACUAAAUCAUUCACUUGUACUCACUAAAGGAGAGCUUGAACCUAUGUACUUGUGUAAACCCUUCACAAUUAAUGAGAACUCUUCUAUUCCGUGGACGUAGCCAAUCUGGGUGAACCACGUACAUCUUGUGUUUGCUUUCCUAUCUCUAUCCAUUUAUAUACUUAUCCACACUAAUGACCGGAGCAAUCUAGCGAAGAUCACAAAAAAGCGACCGUUUUCGCUACCUAGGAUCUAUCUUGCAAGAGAACGGAGAAUUAGAUGGAGAUCUCAACCAUAGAAUACGAGCUGGAUGGAUGAAGUGUAAGAAUGCAUCCGGCGUGUUGUGUGACCGUCGUAGGCCACUGAAGCUCAAGGGAAAAUUUUAUAGGACGGCAAUAAGGCCAGCGAUGUUGUAUGGCACAGAAGAAUGUUGGGUGGUGAAGCAUCAACACGUACACAAAAUGGGUGUAGCGGAGAUGAGGAUGCUUCGUGGGAUGUGUGGGCACACGAGAAAGGAUAAGAUUGGGAAUGAGGAUAUCCGAGGUAAAGUAGGAGUAGCCGAAAUUGUAGGAAAGAUGAGAGAAAAUCGGCUCCGGUGAUUUGGACAUGUGCAAAGAAGGCUGAAUGACGCUCCGGUUCGAAGAUGUGACUACGGGACAGAGGUUCAGGGUUGAAGGGGUAGAGGAAGACCUAGGAAAACUUUGGAAGAGACUAUAAGAAAAGACUUAGAGUACUUGGAUCUAACGGAGGACAUGACACAAAACCGAGCGCAAUGGCGUUCUAGGAUUCAUAUAGCCGACCCCACUUAGUGGGAAAAGGCUUUGUUGUUGUUGUUGUUGUAUUCAAUGAAGAUGCUUAAAGGAGACAGUAAUAUUAGCAAUGAAGGAAUUUAAUUGAUAACUAAAACUGCAAAACAAAAUGACUACAAUAGGUUCAAAACAGAAACUCGUCCGAUAGAUAUCUCAUCUUUAGGCAAUGCCUUGUUCCCUUUUUUUUUUUUUUUUUUUUUUUUUUUUUUUGUUGCAUGUCUUGUGAACUUCAUGUAAAUCAACAAAAUUGAUACCUUAACCAACAAUGGAGAGGUAAAAAGUUAAAAACAGAAGGAAUGUCUUCAGUUUUGUAAUGGAUUUUGCAAGUCAAAUUCUGUUCGAGAAUUUGCAACCCAGAAAGUCCCAGCAAUUAUUAACAAUCACAGAUAAGCACCGAAUGAAGGCCAAUCUAAUAAGCCAAAAUAUGUAGGGCACUAAAGAAAUUAUUGCCCAGUAACAAUGAUAGAUAAGCACAUGUGAAACUAAAGAAAAUUUUCAUUACUAUCAACUCCAAAAAAAAUUACCUAUGCAAUCCAAAAAAUGUUGAUACAGAGUUGGAGUAUCGAUGCCUGAAAUUGGUAUUUGAACCACCAACUACCUCCGUGAAUAUGCUUGUCACUUAAUGGUUUGGGUUGAAGUUGUGAAAGGAAAUGUAAUUUCUUAAAAGGAAGGAGAGAAUGCAGAGAAGAAUACAGAAUGGUUCACGUGGCCACCGCAAAACAGGUUAAUAAUCAAGCUUCACUAUGAAUGGAAAGAUUAAUAGAUGAUAAUUAAGAAGGCCUGAUACCCAAGCCGAAAUCAGAGAUAUCCUUUGUAAACAAAGAGAUUGAACAUUUCCUCUCAAAAAAUAACUUUUUUUUUUGUUUUGGGGGGGAGGUUGGGAAGGCUCAGAAAAAGACAUCCAAUAUAAUACUUAUUGCAUGCAAGGUAUGAAACAGCCUCCCCCCGAGUAAAAUCACAGAAAUAAAAGAAAUCGAAUCAAGAAAAAAGAUAAUUACACAAGAAUUACACCUUCACUAAGAAAAUAAAUUAUAAAAACGAAGACUCUGAGAAUAAUUGCCUGUGAUUUGCUGCCAAAAACAAAAAUAAUGUCGUAUACAUUAAGCCUGCCGAUUACUAAAAACAAAACAUUUUUCCAUGAGAAGAAGUAAGAACAUACCGAAACUUGUUUGCUAAUAGAUGAGAAAAAUUUAUAACUGAAACAUAUAGGAAAUUUAUUAGGAAAAGAUAAACAAAACACCUAAAUUAAGCAAUUAAAUGGAGUAUUACUUGAUAGAGCUGGAAAAUUACCCAGUUCCUCAGAGAGAGGAUCAAGAGUGAAUGAUGAGAGUGCAGAGAAACGAAUGAUUGAGAAAUUCAAGCUCUGAGCUCACAGUUGGGGCUUCCACUUUCCAACUGGGGAAGAAAUAACAGAGAAAACACAAGGCCAAUCCACCAAAAAUAUUAAUCAAAUGGGUUUCUUCUAAUUCAAAAUUUUGACCACCCAAAUUCCGAUGAAGCAAUAAUUGUUCAAAAUUCCAACAGAUUGAAGGAAAAAGUAAUAAAUUUUUUUAAAACAGUAAUAAUGAAGGAAAAAGAAAUUAAAGCUGCGAGCCAUUCUCUAAAUCUCAGGCACCAAUCCAAAUCACCAGUAAUUUGCACAUAAUGAUAAGAAUCUAGCAAUACUUCCAUUGUUUAAAACCCAAAUUCCAGAAAUCAUGAAAAAUGGAAACUUUAUAUGGAAAUUGAAGCUUUACCUGCAGAUCAGCAGCAGCAAACGAAAUUCAAGAAGUCACGAUUAUCGACGCGUGGGUAGCAUUCCACUGUGCCAAGGACGAAAAUGAACGGGGAAUGUAGAGCUGGCUGACGAAGACAGGAUUCGCGAAGCGCUCUGAUUUUUUUUUUCACGAGAAUGCGGAAUGAAGAGAAGCGAGUAGAGGAGGAAUCAUUUUAAGCGAUGAUCGACGCGUGGAAAUUGAGGGCAAAUCUGCCAUUUUGCUGUGAACGAAAGUGAAAAAAGGCACAAUCAAAGAGUAAUUUGAGGGCAUUCUAGCCACUUUAAUAAACAGUAGCUUUGUGUUUGAGAUUUAAUAUAGGUAUAUAUAGAGCCCUACAGAGCAACUCCACCCAUGGAGCCCUCCUCUCUGACAAUCUACUAUUGAAUUCACCUUUUUGAACAGUAACUGCCUUUAAUAAAUAGUAACUACCAUUAAUGAACAAUAAUUGUCAUUUGCAUCUCCACCCUUGGAGCCCUCCCCCCUGGCAAUAGGCAAUAAAAUAUUAAUUUUUUUUGUUUGUUUAAAUAAUACAAAAUAAAAUUAUUUGUAAUUUUGGAUAAGAUUUUUUAAAUCGUUCUCGUUGCGCCACGUGUCAUUUUAUAAAAAAAACAAUUAUUUAGCGAUGGAUUUCGAUAAGAUUUUUAUCCAAUGUCAUCGUGUCACAUGUCGUUAUCUUUUGAUAAUCUUUGACGAUAUCUUUCGAUCAGAUUUUAACUCGUUCAAAAUUGCGUCACGUGUCAUUAUUCGAAAAGAUAAUUAUUGGAGAUCGAUUUCGAUAAGAUUUUUAUCCAAUACGAUCUUGUCACGUUUCAUUAUCUUUCAUAAUAUUUGAGGAUAGAUUUCGAUCAGAUUUUUAACGAAUGACGGCAUGCCACGUGGCCUUAUCUACAAUCCAAUCCUUUCUGAAUCAUCCAUAUAAUCCACCAUCCAUCCUCACAAAUCUCACACCAAAUUUCUCAACAUUUCUAUCUCAUUAUUCAUAGUUUCUGCUUCUUCUUCACCAUCCAUCAUUACAAUGUCUUCUUCUUCAUCAAGGAUGAUGUGGGAAAUCGAUCAGCAAGAGGAAGAAUUGUUUAACCAAUCUGAAGGAAUGUUCAACCUUCAGAUAGCCGAAAAUGAGAUGGAUGAGGAUGAGGAGCGUAGAAGGAGAGACGACGAAACAAGAAUGGCCAGAGCCUCACAUUCCCGUUGAGUCAUCCAGACUGUUGCUCAGAUAUGCAUGCCCAACCGUUCAAGAAACCUUGGUAGAAGCAGGCAACGAUGGGGUGAAGAGCUAUUGGACGAUUACUUUGUCCAUAACAGUGCAUUUCCUGAUACGUACUUCAGACGUCGUUUUAGAAUGGAACGACAUUUGUUCAACAGAAUCAUGACUGAUGUUUACAACCAUGAUUCUUACUUUGUGCAAAAGAAUGAUGCUUGUGGUGUUAUGGGUUUCCUGCCUGAGCAAAAAAUCACUGUUGCGUUGCGGAUGCUUGCGUAUGGAGCAUCUGUAGACCAAGUGGAUGAGAUAACGAGGAUGGGGAAAUCAACCAUUCUUGAGGCCCUUAUGAGGUUUUGCGGAGCAGUCGAAUCUUUGUACACCGCAUAGUACCUCCGAAAACCUACUUGUAGGGACUUGCAAAGGCUUCUGAAGAAGGGCGAGAUGCGAGGUUUUCCUGGGAUGAUAGGAAGCAUCAAUUGUAUGCACUGGACGUGGAAAAAUUGUCCAAGUGCAUGGCAAGGCGCAUAUGGGGACAUAAAAGGAUCAAAAACUAUCAUUUUGGAGGCAGUGGCAUCUUUUGAUACAUGGAUAUGGCACGCCUUUUUCGGGGUUCCGGGGGCUCAAAAUGAUCUCAACGUCCUUGCCCAAUCCCCAGCGUUCAACGACAUCCUGCAAGGAAAGGCACCAAAAGUCACGUACAUCGUCAACGGACGUAGGUACGACGGGCCAUACUAUCUAGCUGACGGCAUUUACCCACGGUGGGAAACAUUUGUCAAAACAGUGCCACGUCCGCGAAGUGCAAAGGAAAAACACUUUGCAAGCUGUCAAAAGGGGUGCAGGAAGGAUGUGGAGCGUUGUUUUGGUAUCCUUCAAGCUCGUUGGGCGAUCGUCAGGGGUGCUGCCAGAAUGUUCGAUGUAGAGUCACUUUGAUCCAUCAUGAUGACAUGCGUCAUUCUUCACAAUAUGAUUGUGGAAGAUGAGUUCGAUUAUGAUGCGGUUGAUGAAUAUGAGCCAGAGCCAGACACGAUGAACAAUUCAAGAACACGGAUAUAUUGUGCGCAUGAUGCCACCAAAGAACCCGUGCAACAUGAGCCAUUAGAAAGGGAUGAACGUUACAAUGAAAUGGUCAUUCAACGAUAUACUGCACUUCAAAUGUCAUCUAUGCACAAUGAUCGGCAAAUUGACUUGAUAGAGCACCAGUGGACAUUAAAACAAGCUGAAGAUACUUAAGUUUAUUUAGUAUGUUUGUUUGUAUUUGGUAUGUUUAUGUAAUUUUAUUUGGUGUGUUUUUUGUAGUGAGUUUUUUAUUAUUUCGUAUGUUUAUGUAAUUUUAUUUGGUGUGUUUAUGUAAUUCCAAUUGGUAAGAAAAUAUGAAAUUGUGGUGUAAGGUAGAUGGAGAAGAAGUGGUAUUUAUAGAAAAGUAAAAACAAUUUUUUACAAAUUUUUUUUUUUAGAUUUUUUACAAUUUUUUCGGAUUUUUUCCAUUUUUUUUAAUUUUUUUUUCAAAUAAUUAAUCUCUGCCGUUGGAUUUAAAAAAAAUUGAAUUCCAACACUCCAGAUUGUGCCACGUGUCACAACGGUAAUUUUUCUUAAUUUUAAAACUAUUUUUUCUUUAUUUAUAAAGCAUAUUAAUAUCGACCGUUGAUCUGAAAUCGAACGGUUGAUAUUAAAUAAGAUUUGUUUUAUUUUUUUUACCGUUGAGAUCCAACAGUCCAAAUGAAAGAGCCGUUGAGAUCGAACGGACCGUGGGAAACCACGUGGCUUCCCAAUGGUAACUGAGACAACUGCAAAAGUGGGCUGCUUUUCUGAAAAGCUGUCAGGCGACGCGCCCCCACGCGCGAGUGGGGUGCACGCGCCUGACAAAAAAAAAAAAAAUGGGUGAAGAGCUCGGGCUCACGGCUGUCACAAAUUGACAGGCCUUCUGCUCGGGCCUUCUCCACGAGCUCGGGCUCUUCAAGACUGGAGCUGAUUGACUAGCCCUCGGGCCUUUCUUUUCCCCUGUCCCCCGGCCUACAUGCAUGGGUGGAGUUGCUCUAAGAGAAGGGAUUUCCAUUCUUGUUUUUUUAAAUGUGGACACCUUUUUUACUGUUAGAUUUGACUUUAACGAAAUUUUGUGGUUGAGAUUAAAUCACAAACCACAGAAUCUCAACCAUAGAAUUUCAUUAAAGCUAUAUUUAACGAUCAAUAGGGUGUUCCCAUUUUUUUUGAAAAAUAGGAAUCCCUUCCCUUAAGGCUUUCAGUAUAUUAUAUACACUAAAACUCAAUUGAUGAACACUGUUCAUUAACAGUGAUUUUACGUUUUAGCCCCUGUUUUGCUGUUUGUUUGCCCUUUUAUUUUUCGAUCUUAACAGUAAAAUGACAGUUUUGCCCGUUCUUUCCACGCGUCAGUCAUCGUUGAGCUCUUCACUUCAAGAGUCUUCUUUUAGGUUUAGCCUUUUCUUUGCACUGGUGAUUCUCUGAUUUCGUCUCUUCGUCUCGCCCUCUGUUUUUUCUCAAAUCCUCCAUUCCUCUCAAAUAUUCCGUUCUUUAUUUCACAAAAUAUUCAGGAGAAAGUUCCUGAUUUUCGUGUUUUAAGGGAUAUAAUGAUUUGGUGUUGUUUAUCUCAAACAGCGGGCUUGCAGGUAAAAUGUUAAGCUUUAUGUCCAAAGCAAUCUUUCUCUGCAUGCUGACUGUGUGUUGAUUUGAAGGGGUGGUUUAGUGAAUGGGUGCUUCUUAUUUUUGGCCUUUCUCUAUUAUCAUAUAUGUUUCUCUAUUCUCAGGUAUCAGAUCAUUCGAAACAAAAACAUUUUAACGUUAUUUUUGCAGGUUAAUGUUGGGUUUGAGUCCAACACGAUAUACACUUGAACAGAGUAGAGUAGAAGACAGUAUGCAAACAUGAUUUAGGACACAGUUUACCUAAUUGUAAACACUCUGUGAAAUAUUAUUAGUUAUGAACAUCCAAUUUGAAUCCCCCACAUGCUAAAUUAGGUACCAUUAAAUUAGUUUUAUGUCUUUUUUUUAUUUGAAAGCUGCUUCUUAUUUCUGUCUCUAUUAAGAUUCUGGGGUGUGCUUUGGAUUUGCUACAUAUGGUCAUAUUUUUUGUCAUUGGCUUUUUGUUCUGCUUAGUUUUUUUUAAUCGAGUGUUUUAUCUGGUAUUUCAUUUUGUUUUGUUUAUUUGUUUCCUUUUUAUGUUUAAAUGUUUUUUGUUCUUUCUAAAUUUGGGCUUCUGGGAAAUUCUUGCUCACUGUUUGGAUUCCGAGAAAAUUUAGGGGAUGUCCAGUAAUAUUCACAUCCUGAAAACUCAGUGAAAAUAGAUACCAAUUUAUGUGCAGCUGAAAAUUUUGUUAUCUGAUUCUGUUCUAAAUAACAUGAUUUAUUUGUUUUUUAAACUUUUAAUUAUUUCGUAUUUAUUUUGUGAUUGCAGAUGUUUAAAUGAUGGAGAGUUUCGCAAAGCUGUUACUCGGAGGAGACAUGUCUAGAUGAGGGAAAGGUGUCUCCACUGCCCUUGCUAUCUCAAAUGCCAUCACCAAUCUCUCUGGUUAGUCACAUUCCUCUUGGAAUAUGCAUAUUCUUAUGUGAUGUUGGCUGAUACCUUGGUGAGUCAACUUAAUAAAAAAUGUGAGAUGGACAAAUUGAAAAGUCUAUUUUCUUCUCAUAUGCAUCCUUUAACAUAUGUCAGUUUUAAUUAUUGAUGAGCAAUUGAAAAUUUAGUUUUUCUUCUCAUGGUACACUUACAUUGGUAGUUCAACAUAUGUUUGUUUAACAUAUCUUAUUAAAUGCAUUUGAGAAUCGAUUGAAGAAACUCAGUUCUUUUAGCAAUUAAGAACAAGGUAAACAUAGUUGUAAAUAUGUGUAAAUAAGAUAGGAAUUUUGAUGAAUUUAUGUUUUUUCCUCCGUUUUUCAGUGUUUUCAGGCAUUGAAGCUAAAUAUGGAGAGGGUUUUGAGACUUUUAGACCUAUUGGACCUCUCAAGGUUUGCGUGGUAAGGAGUUUAUGGAGUUAUACGCAUAGUAGGCAUUAUAUUUUAUGUUCUGUUGAAUUUAAUUUAAUGGUUAUAUUUUAUGCUCCUAUGAGUUAUUACUGUUAUGUUUACUCUGAGUAGGAUUUGUUGAACGACAAACUGCAAGGAGGUUUUCUUAAACGAAUAUGAUAUGCUAUGAAACCGAAUGAAGCUUACUGUCUUCUAUUCUCUUUUGUUAAUUUCGUGGUAAGUUUCUAUAACACUGAUUAGUUAUGUCUUCGAGGUUCUAAUGGCUAGAUAUGCUAAUGUAAUGAACUAUGGAAUAUUGUAAUAGUUUAUGGUCAAUGUGAUCCCAUAUCUGUUUGAUUGAAAUAUUGUUCUAUAACAGGUUUAAACUUUGUUUUUCCAAUACCUUAUCACAAAAUAAUUCCACCUUGGACAAAUUACAAGGUAUGCUGCAACAUGUGCUUUGAUUAAUUGCAUUCAAAUUGAUACUGCUUAAGAAUGCAUUUGAACAUGUUGAAUUUCACGCCCGCAGCAUCGCGCGGGCAAUAUUGCUAGUAUAAUAUAUAAUUGGGUGAUAAAGAGAGUAGGUGAAAGAACACAAUUUGCUCUUAAAAAUGUUGUUUUUAAGAACGAGUGAUUUUUCUUUUCUGACUCUUUCUGUCUAACCCAAAAGCAUACUGGUAAUAGGGUCCAGUAAGAAAAUUAUUUUUAGAAAUUAAACAUGAAAAAAUACAAAAUUUACAAUUUCGAAUUAUACAAAAAAGACAAAAAAAGCGCAAAAUAAAAAGAGCAGGACAGAAAAACAGAAACAAAAGAAAGGAGACACUAAGAAUACAAAUAGCGUGAUUUGAGCCCUCAAUUUUGGCAGGCAACAUGAUUGUUAACGCAUGAUUGUGAACCCAUCCAUUGAAGAAAGAAGCAUCAUAAUACACAAGAGUCAAGACUGGGCUUGGUUUAUAUAAUGAAUAAUGUUAGGGAGAUCAAAUUUUUUAAACUAAAUUUGUAAAUUAAAUGAUGUAGUUAUAGAUGAUUGGGUUAUUACUAAGUGUCGAUUAAUAUGUUUAUUUCUUAUUGGUGACAUAUCAUUUGGUUUAAAAAUUUGGUCUCCCUAGCAUUAUCCUUAUAUAAUUAAUCAAUAAUAUUCCAUAACAAGAGCUAGGUCCAUAUAUUACGAGGUUAUAAAAUAUGCUAGGUGCUAGUCGAGAGGCGGGCGGGGCCUAAGCAGAUUUAAGUAAAUUUAUUAUAUAUUGUAUAAAUAAAUGCCUUUUUAUACUUAAAAUGACACACAAUUGUAUCGAAAUAUAUAAAUUGCAAAAUAAAAUGACAUAUAGAUUAUAAAUUACUAGAACAUAAUGAACAAUCAUAUAAUGAGGGUUUAUCCAAAUAUUUAUUGGAAAACAAAAAACAAAAUGAGUGUUAUCGAUUUUCUGUCUAAAUGAAAGUUGCGGGCUAGGCAGGUUUAAGUGGGUUAGGCGGACGCCUAAGCAAGUCUAGAGCACUUUCUUAAUUUUUAAAUGAUUAGGGACUAAUUAGGGUGGUGGACAACUGCCUAGCGCUAGACAUGGGUUUUUAGAACAGUAAUUACUUGUUCUCAUAGAUCUCUGGGUUCAAGAAAAUUAUGAUCACCUAUUGUUCGAUCUUAAUACCGUCGGUAAGCGGUUAUUUAACCAUUUUUUAUAUUGAGUAAUUUUCCUGGAUCCUGAAAUCUAGAAGAACAAAACUCUUAUGUCACAUGGAUAAACAUAAUCAGGCAUAAGAAAAAGGUUGAAGAAUUCAUAAGUCAUAUAGGGGGCGUUUGUUUGCCCUCACUAAGUAUCACUGGACUAACUAUUAGUCCAGUCCCGUGUUUCUUCUGUAGAGGGAUUAUGUUUCAUGAGACUAAAGGGGAGUCACACGGACAAACUCCUUCACUAGGAGUUCUUAGCGAGAUCCCCCAAUGCCCAUGGGAUUGCUAAGACCUCGUAUACUCCAUCUUUGUAUGCUAUGUCUCAUCCUCUCUAUGCUCUCUAUUAUCUUGAGCACCAUCACACCACAACUCACCAACUCCAGUGAGAUCACACCACCAACCCACCACCACUUUCUCCCUCUCUCUUCACAUGAACCCAAAAUUUCGAACUGAGGAAGAUCCCGUUCUUACAGUAAUUCGUCCAGCUCUAGCUGUCUGCUUCGCUUCGCUGCACUUCAAACUCGACCUUGGACUCGUCUGAUUCGCUUUGAACUCGACCUCGUAUUUGUCGACUUUACGCAAUUGACGAGAUCUUGUGAACUUGAUGAUGGGUGAGCCACCCAGUGCACUUGAAGGAAUAUGGGAGGCCAAGAACGCCAAAGCCUACGACGGCAAUGAAGACGUUGGCUGGAUUGGGAUGACAGCGACGUGUUCCACAUCAAGGGCAGCGGCUUGGGAUUCUUGUUUUCAUUUGGUUUUGAUUUAAAUUAGGUUUUGAUUUCGAAUUGGGUUUGAUGUGAUCUGGUAUUGGCAUUUGAUUUGCUCUGUAAUUGUUUGAAUGUGUGGAAUAAAUUUUGGGGAAAGAGGAAGAAAAUUUAGAAAAAGAAAAAUAGACUAAAUAAUAAAAUAUUAAUAUAUAUUAGAUUAAAUAAUAUCAUAUUAGAAUUUAUUAUUAUCCUACUUCUUGGUCCGACACUGCACCAAACGCUUUACUAAGCUAAUCCAACUUAGUCUAGUCUAAGUCAAUCCAGCUUAGUUCCUGAAGUUAGUCUAGUCCAAGACAAUCCGGUGCAACAAACACAUUCAUAGAGUAAUUAUAGGGAUACUAAAUUUGUAAAUAAAAUUUUGUAAACUAAAUGACAUGGAAGUUGAUCGUUGAAUUAUUACUUAAACGUUAAUAAAUGUACUCAUUAUCACUAAAGACACGUUAUUUAAUUUGUAAAUUUUAUUUAUAAAUCUAAAGCAUUACCCAAACUCAUAAUACAAAUAGCUACUUUGAGAGAAGAAAAGAUGGAGAGUGAUAUGAUUGCAUUCUUUUUUAAAGCAACUUCUGAAGAUUCCAUAAUAAACUAUUAUUAUAUAUGAAGAUGUGCCGUGGUAAAAGAGAGGAAAAAAUGAAUGGAAAGUUUAUCCAAAAGAUUCUUGACCGUGAUUACAACUAUUUAACUUUUGUAAAUUUUCAUGGACCGAGAUCCAAGAAAAGAUGGAGAGUGAGAUUGGCAUUCUUUUUUGUAAAGGGAUUUUUUUUCCGAUCCCUUCCAUCUAAUUCACCUGAGUCAACCAUUUGAGUUCUUGAAAUUUAUUUAAACAACUAAAAUUAUUAUAACUUUUAAUGAAGCCCCUAUUUGUAGUCGUUAAAUCAAAUUUUAAAGAUUCGAAUUAGUGAAUUAGGUGGAUUAGGUGGAAGGGAUCCGAAGAAUAUCAAUUUCCUUCUUUUUCAACACAACUUUUGUUGAGUCCAUAAUAAACUAUUAUAUGAAGAAAGAAUACUAAAAAGACUCUCUCAAAAUCGAAACUUUUUGCGAACUUUUUAGCAUCUCAUGUUUUUGAGAUUAAUAACUAACAUUAUCUGAGAUUUAUUAAGUUUUCACAAAAUUCCCUUACGUAUGAGAUAUUACGCUAACAACACUUUAGUGUAAUGUCUCAAACGUAAUGGGACCUUGUAAAAUUUGAUUAACUUCGACAGUAUUAGUAUAUUUUUAUGUAAAUAUUAUAAAAUAUUAUGUUAAAUACAUUAAAUAACAGAUAGUCUUUAAGAGAGAUUUCUUACAUCUUUCUAAUGGAUACGGACGGUGGAAAAAGAUCAUUCCAUAAUUAAAUAUUGUGCUGUUGAUUACGCGUCUCUCCAUUUGACUAAGUUCCUUUUCACAUUCUUCCCUAAAUAAAAUGGUUCACUUUUCACAUUAUUACAAUAUUUAUAUUUAUAUUUUUACAAAAGGGAUUCGUCUAAAUUAAAUUUUUCGAAAAAUUUCGUAUAGUGAGUGAAAGUGAAACACUCCCUUUGUUAUGAUUAUGACAAUAUUUAUAUUUUUACAAAAGGGAUUUAUCUAAAUUAAAAUUUUCAAAAUUCCGAACAAGAUUUGAACUUUCGUGUAUAUGAAUAUAUGGAGUAAAUUGAUCAUGGCUGAAAAUAUGGCAGUGGUUGUGUUUGUGUUGCCUAACGGAUGAUAUUGAAAUACCUAAACACAAGUCAAGCUCCUUCAGUUAACAAAAACAGAAGUUUAUAAUAUGAUAAUGUUGGCGCACGGACUUGAGAAACAACAUAGGCCGGGAAUGUGCACAAAAAGUAAGAGAGAGGUAAAGAGGAAAGAAACGAACAUGAAAGAACAAAGACUAUCGAAUACAUUAUAAAACAAUGACUUCUUGGUAGUCAUUACAUCUCAACCAUCAAUAAUGCAUUAAUUUUGGUUGAAAUGUAGAAGUAUUUGAGAAGUAGCAUGACAACAACCACAUAAUAAACAAAAGUGGACGCAAAUGUGAAAGGAUAAUUAAAAACAAUUAUUCAAGAUGGGCGGUAGUUGAUUCAGCCAUUUAGAAGAUUCAAACCUAGAAUCAUUAUUGUAUUAACUAUUAACAGGUGCUAUAAUAUAGUUCUUAGGGAUUUCAAGGAGGCAUAUGGGGGACUACAUAAUGUGCAAUAGGAUUAAACUUUUUUUGUUACUAGGCAAAUGAACCAUAUUGAAAAAAGUUGAGGUUUAACCAUAAAAUUAAUUGACGAUAUAAAAAGUAGCUCAACCUCUUAUAAGCGUUUGCAAGAUUUCUCUUUUGACCUAUACAAGACUCUUUUACUUUCACAUCCUCGAACAUAUAAUACACCCAAAUGGAUGCCAAUAUAUAAACAUUGUUUUGAAAGGACAAGGGAGCUAACAGUGUCUUUUUAUAUGACUUGGACUUGGAGUACGGGCUGCAAAUUGCAUGCAAUUGCAACGAGAGCCAAAGAUAAUUGCCUUGUCCUUCAAAUUUGUUGGUAAAUUGGGGAUUGCACGAAGAUUUUCGCACUAAUCUGAAUACAGUGUUUCAAGCUUUUAAAGACCACUGAAGCUUUGAAAACUCUGUUGAUUUUACUUCCCAAGUAAGUGACAUAAAACUAAAUUGGGCAGUUGCAUGACAACAACCACUUAAUAAUCAAAAGUGAUUCGAAAAAGACCGAAAGUGAGAUGACCGCAUUCUUUUUCAGACAACUUUGGUAGAUUCCAGAAUAAACUAUUAUACAUGAAGAUGGGCGGUGGUAAUUGUCCUUUUGAUUAAAGUUUUUUGAGUCGAAAAUCAUUUUUCUAUAAUUAAUUCUUAACUAGAAAUUUGUACCAGUACACCGUUGUGGGACUGAAAAUCUUAUGAAAUAUUUUAUAACUUUAAUUUUCAUAAAUAAUGUGCGAGUGAAAAACAAAAAAUUACGAAUGGUAAUGCAAUUUAUAUGUAACCUUAUCAUGAACGGAACAAAUUUAGAUACUAAAAGAAAAAUUAAAAAUCUAUUUUUUCAAAGUGCGAAGAGAUAAUUGUUUAUUAAAAAAGUUGGACCAAUGAUAACUGCAUAAAUUACAAAUGCAAUAUUAAGAGUAUACCAGUCAAACUAAGCUUGCUACAGGCUAAACAAUGUUGAAAAACAUCAUUAGCUUUUUCAAGUGUUAUAUGCAAUGAAUGUAAUUAGCACGAAACUAGCACGAAACUGCAGAGGCUUUCGAUCCAUUAUAAUAUAAAAUAAAUAAUAAUAUUUACGUAUAAAAUAUGAUAUGAUUAUAUGAAAGUAACGACCCAAAUCUUAUUGGAGCUAAUUAACUAAUGUAUGCUCAUCAGGCAGCUGGAUUCCUUGGCAAGUGUUUAACCCCUACUUUCUUCACGCUCACAGAAUCACCAUUUGCAAAGUCAAUCGGCCUCACACCAAUAAAAACUUAAUCCCCGGCUAGUAAACUGAUCAGCUUAUCGUCCGAUAUAUGUCACUGCAAAGAUAAUCACCUUGUCUUUCAAAUUUGUUGGUAAAUUGGGGAUUGCGAGAAGAUUUUCGCACUAAUCCAAAUAUAUUGUUUCGAGCUUUGAAUGACCACUGAAGCUUUGAAAAGUCUGAUGGUUUUGUUAGGUCAUGUGUAUGACUAACGUUAAUGAUUUUCAACUUCCCAAGCAACUGUUACACAACUAAAUUUAAAAUCCAAGAGGAGGAUAUGAUCAGAGAAGAAAGAAAUGCAAUCCACUAAUAAUCAACAUCGAUAUUGUCUUCAACUUAAUCAUGAAUAAGUUUUAAGGCACAAAAGACCUCAUGCUUUUGUAGUUGAGCCAUUUAAUGUAAGGAGAAUCACAAUGUUAGUUAACCACAUCACAGUACAAAAGCACUAAAAGCGUCCAAGUGAAAGUGAAAGUGCUUUCUUCUCAUGUAGUUUCAUUUAACUUAAUUUUCCACAAUGGUAAUUAUGUUUCAAUGGUUCUGUUUUCACAUGCCAGUCGGUCAGUCACAUACUCAACUCCUUAAUGUUCGGGCUCAAUGGCUCGAAGAGAGCUUCCACUUCACUCUGAUUCACCUCCUCUAACUUUGACGGAUUCCACUUCGGAUUCUGCAUUGACAAGAAACAGAAGCCAGAGAUAAAGAUUCGUUGAUAUACGGAAAGUAAGAUGAUUAUACAACCGUAGGUCUAGUAGAGGCUGUAAUGGUUUAUGUUGCAGCAACUGCGUCAGCAAGUGAUUUUAUAGCAAGGAAUCUUGAGCAUAAUUAACGAACCUGAUCCUUGUCCACCAAAACUGCCGUACACCUUCAGCAAAAUCAUUCCGUAAAGACGAUCUUAUAGCAACGUGAUAUUCAGUUUCAUCACACCAGUUAACUGGUAUUGGUCAAGUAAAGCACAUGUUACUUUCUGAAAAUUUGAAAUACUACAACGCAAAACCUAUCAAAAGGAUGCAACCAUGUGAUGCAAGAAACGAAAAGGUACAAAGUCCAGACUCACUCUGGAUAAUUGAUUGUCAUUUUUCCCAAGCACGGAUGCAACUUUAGCGAAAUAAUUUUGUGUCAAAAAAGUGAAAACAGAGCACCCUUUCCAAGACCUUAAAGAGCUUCGUUAGCCCACUCACCACUGCAAUACAAACAAUUUAUACAAAAUACUUGACAGCGACAUACAAGCUGCUCAAUAGACAAAUGGCAUUAAAAAACUUACCAGUAGCAUCUGAACUCUGAUGCUGCUUUUUAAGUUCAUCAAUUGUCUCAAGAACCAACUUAUCUGCACCAAAUGCUGAAGUUAUUUGAGGUAAAAGAGUCUUGAGUUGCGCUUCAGAAUCUGGGUAGCUGGUGAAUUUCACCACAAUUGUUUCAAUGUCCUGAUGGGGAUCCUGGGAACUGAUUCAACAAUGGAGUUGCUUUUAUCUCAAGAAACGCAUUGGACAAUGUGAUGAUGGCAACUAAAGUUAAACCCACUGAAGCAUUGGAAAUUGCGUCUGAGGAUAGAAAAGGCAUACCUGCAGAUACUCCUCCCAGACUCUUUGCCUCUAUAUGUGAAAACCCAUCUGGGAACAAACCAAUUCCAUUCUCUGGCAUAGCAAGAACAGUCCUCAGAAAUGUAUCCAUACAAAGUUUGACACACAAAAUUAAAAAAGCCAUUGCAAUGUAAUUGACAACAUUGACAAUCUCUGUCUGACCGGGCAAUAAUGCCUCUGUAAUGAUCCGGUAGCGACUGUGACCUGAUAGGCCAAUACCAAAGCCCACUGUUAUGCCAUCCAUGAAGCUUAUAUGGGCUUCUUGUACUCGGAGAUAUUGCAUAUUAGAGAAUACUCAGCAGUGAAUACCUGAAAAACGUGCAGCACAAAUAUCAUAUCGGUAGCCUCUCAAAUCUUAAGAAAACUACAAAUGGUAGCUUAGAAAAGAAAUGAAUCCUCUCCAACCAAUACAAAUCAUAUUACCCAAGUUCAAGCAAAAUCAAGACUAAACAAAUGACCAGAUGUUGUAGGUUGCCAGAGAAUGUCAAACAUGAAAUUACAAAAGAAAAAAAUAAUCGUAUGUAUUGAACAUUAAUAAAUACAUGCUGAAAGCACAAUCUUAGCCGCAAUUUAUGACAUUUAUACAAGAUUAAAUCGCCAAAGAAAUUAAAGAAAUUGCAGAGCUCAUAUAAGUGAUGUUCACUAUGAACUUUUAGGCUUAUCAACAAAUACACCAUAACGAUUCUAAUGCAUGAAUUUUGUUAAAGGGGGCUUGCUUGCUUGUAUUAAGGCUUAAUCAUCAAUGAUUUUGCAAGGGUCAAUCGUAUUGCUAGUUGUAAAUCUAUUCACUAUGAAAAUUACCAAAAUUACAUCUAAUAUGGUAGUGAAGGAAGUCAUCUUACAUUAUCUGGAAUUUAGAAAACUGUGUAAGGUUAUAAUAUAUGGUUACAAGGACACAAUUAGACCUCAAUCAUAUUCGGUGGUUGGUUUUUGGCCGUGAUCUGCUUCACAUCACCGCCUGCAGGUAAACUAAAUCUGGGUUACUACAUAUCAAUGAAUCAACGUGCCAACUUAACGGACACCAUCUAUCUCUAUAUGGCAAAAAAAACAACACAAAAAGGAACAUGAAGUGAAACAAUAAACAACAUGACAUGAAACAGCACGAACAUCAAAGACCAACAAUCUAUCACGUAAGCACCUAAACAAGAAACAACUUUAGUUCAAAGCAAAGCGUAAUGUAGAAACCUUCGGCACAACAGGUGUGUUUUUGUCCUUUCGAGUUUCGGCAACAACCACUUUAAUAUCCUUUCCUGCAUUUACCAUGAUUGGUCACUCUUAAAACCUUAACUCCGCCGUGUAAGUUUAUCUUACAUUGCCGGUCCCAAGCCCGGAUAAAGGAGGAGGGGGAGGGCGUCAGGUAGUCGACAGCCGGCACUCCAUGAUUACGUCGAAUCCUUACGAAAAUGAAUCCAGAACGAAAUCGCGCUAAAGCUAGGGCGUCACCCGUAAGUGGCGCGCUGUGUGGCCCGAGCACAGUGAUAAGUGAGCAAGGGUCGCUAUAUCUCCAUCGGCACCCGGAUGCAGUGUUAAAUGAGCAAGGGGGCUAUAGAAACUUCUUUUCGAACGACUCCACUCAAAGUUGUUUGGGAGCAUAUGCUCCUAUCAACUUUACACGGGACACACAAAAGAAGUACUUUGAUCCUAUUAGACGGGGAAGGGUGAAGAAGCUAGGACAGAAGGGUAGAGUUCAAGAGAGCAAAAUGCGUUUAGGAACGUGGAAUAUAGGAACCUUGACGGGAAAAUCUAUGGAAGUAGUAGCAGUUAUGGUGAGGAGAAGGAUAAAUAUUAUGUGCCUACAAGAAACUAAGUGGGUUGGGCGUAAGGCAAAGGAUCUAGAAAACUCAGGGUUUAAACUAUGGUAUUCGGGCACAAAUAGAACGAGAAACGGUGUUGGCAUCAUCGUGGACAAGACCUUGACACAAGAUGUUGUAGAUGUUAAGAGGGUAGGAGAUAGAAUCAUGUCAAUCAAGAUUGUAAUAGGACAAGAACUUAUCAAUGUGAUUAGUGCGUACGCACCUCAAGUAGGGUUGGAUACGAGUUCGAAGGAGAAAUUUUGGGAAGACCUUGGAGACUUGGUGCAAGGAAUUGCUCAGACGGAGAAGUUAUUUAUAGGAGGAGAUUUAAAUGGACACGUGGGCAGGGAGACAGACAACUAUGGAGGUUUUUAUGGUGGCCAUGGUUUUGGGGAGAGAAAUGAGGAUGGGGAAGCUAUCUUGAAUUUUGCAAUGGCAUAUGAUCUCUUCUUAGCCAACACCUUCUUUAAGAAGAGAGAAGAACAUGUGAUCACCUACAAGAGUGGGUCGUCAAAAACACAAAUAGAUUUUCUCCUAAUGAGGAAAGGGGAUCGUAUAACUUGUAAGGAUUGCAAAGUUAUACCAGGAGAGAGCGUGGCUAAUCAACAUCGCUUGUUGGUGAUGGAUGUAAAUAUCAAAAGAGUGAGAAAAAAGAACAAGACUUGGAAGUGCCCAAGGACUAGAUGGUGGAAUCUAAAAGAAGAAAAACAAGCCAUUUUCAAAGAGAAAGUAAUCACCCAGUGUGUGUGGGAUAGAGAGGGGGAAGCUAACCAAAUGUGGGAUUCCAUGGCUAGUUGUAUCCGAAAAGUAGCAAAAGAGGUAUUAGGAGAGUCCAAGGGCUUUGCCCCACACCAAAAGGAAUCUUGGUGGUGGAAUGAGGAGGUACAAACAAAGGUGAAGGCUAAGAAGGAAUGUUGUAAAGCCUUAUACAAGGAUAGGACCGAUGAAAAUGGUGAAAGGUAUAGAAAAGCGAAGCAAGAGGCGAAGAAAGCUGUGAGAGAAGCUAAGUUAGCGGCUUAUGACGAUAUGUAUAAGCGACUAGAUACCAAAGAAGGAGAGUUGGAUAUCUAUAAACUAGCUAGAGCAAGGGAAAAGAAAGACAAGGGACCUAAACCAAGUGAGGUGCAUCAAGGAUGAGGAUGGAAAGGUUCUUGCUACAGAGAACGCGGUUAAAGACAGAUGGAAAGGUUAUUUUCAUAAUCUUUUCAAUGAAGGACAUGAAAGGAGUGCUUCUUUAGGGGAGUUGAGUAACUCAGAAGAGUGUAGAAACUACUCUUUUUUAUCGUAGAAUUCGGAAGGAAGAAGUGGUUGUAGCUUUGAAGAAGAUGAAGCAUAGAAAAGCAGUAGACCUAGACGAUAUACCAAUUGAAGUGUGGAAAGUUUUGGGAGAGACAGGUAUAACAUGGCUCACUGACCUUUUCAAUAGGAUUUUGAAAACGAAGAAGAUGCCAAAUGAGUGGCGAACGAGCACUUUGGUGCCUAUCUACAAGAAUAAGGGUGAUGUACAAAAUUGCAUGAACUAUAGGGGUAUUAAGCUAAUGAGUCAUACAAUGAAGCUCUGGGAGAGAGUCAUUGAGCAUAGAUUGAGGCAAGAGACACGGGUUUCGGACAACCAAUUCGGGUUCAUGCCAGGGCGCUCAACCAUGGAGGCAAUCUAUCUCUUACGAAGAUUGAUGGAAAGAUAUAGAGAUGGGAAAAAGGAUUUACACAUGGUCUUUAUAGAUUUGGAAAAAGCGUAUGAUAGGGUCCCAAGAGACAUUCUUUGGAGGAUUUUAGAGAAGAAAGGAGUACGAGUAGCAUAUAUCCAAGCUAUACAGGAUAUGUAUGAAGGAGCAAAGACUGCCGUAAGAACUCAUGAAGGACAAACCGAAAGCUUUCCCAUAACUGUAGGAUUACAUCAAGGCUCAUCCUUAAGUCCUUACCUUUUUGCGUUGGUAAUGGAUGAGUUAACAGGACAUAUUCAAGAUGAUAUUCCUUGGUGUAUGCUUUUCGCAGACGAUAUAGUGUUGAUAGAUGAAACUCAGGAAGGGGUAAAUGCAAAGCUUAACCUUUGGAGAGAAGUGUUGGAAUCUAAAGGUCUUCGCCUAAGCCGAUCAAAGACAGAAUAUAUGGAGUGCAAGUUCAGUGCAAAUGGAGGCCAAAACGAGUUAGGGGUGAGGAUCGGAGAUCAAGAAAUACCAAAGAGCGACCGUUUUCGUUACCUAGGAUCUAUCUUGCAAAAGAACGGAGAAUUAGAUGGAGAUCUCAACCAUAGAAUACAAGCUGGAUGGAUGAAGUGGAAGAGAGUGCAUCCGGCGUAUUGUGUGACCGCCGUAUGCCACUGAAGCUCAAGGGAAAAUUUUAUAGGAACGGCAAUAAGGCCGGCGAUGCUGUAUGGCACAGAAUGUUGGGCGGUGAAGCAUCAACACGUACACAAAAUGGGUGUAGCGGAGAUGAGGAUGCUUCGUUGGAUGUGUGGGCACACGAAGAAAGGAUAAGAUUAUGGAAUGAGGAUAUCCGGGGUAAAGUAGGAGUAGCCGAAAUUGAAGGAAAGAUGAGAGAAAAUCGGUUACGGUGGUUUGGACAUGUGCAAAGAAGGCCUACUGACGCUCCGAUUAGAAGAUGCGACUAUGGGACAGAGGUUCAGGGCCGAAGGGGUAGAGGAAGACCUAGGAAAACUUUGGAAGAGACCCUAAGAAAAGACUUAGAGUACUUGGAUCUAACGGAGGACAUGACACAGGACAGAACACAAUGGCGUUCUAAGAUUCAUAUAGCCGAUCCCACUCAGUGACUUGGAUUUUCCAAGUCUCCAACCGAGAAGUUUUCCUCACUCGGGAAAUUAAGGGAACACUACCUCAACCUACAUGCUCCACUCACAAAGCUUCAACAAAAGAAAAAUUCAAAGAACUUAGCGAAGAAGGCUUUUGGUGUAUUUAACACAAUACGUUGAAAUGAAGGAAAGCUUAUUUAUUGAUAUCCCCGAUAAGUUACAAAUAUGUACAUAUACUUGAGUCAAAAUAAACAAACAAGAGGGAGCCUUCACAAAGGUUGCUUAGGAGAAGUCUCAGCAGUCGGUAGAGCCCCAGAAAGAGAAGGCACCGGAGGGGGAUCAUUCGGAGCCUCAGUACUGGACAGAACCCUAGAAGGAGGAGGCAUCAGAGGUUGAUCAUUUGGAGCUUCAUUACGCGGUACAGCCCCAGAAGACGAAGGCAAUAAAUGCCUUUGGAACAAACCCACAAAUCUCUGAUGAUCAAGUAAAACCUGACCAUCAGAUUCCUUCAUCUGGUCAAGCUUCCUCUUCAUGUUUGUAGCAUAGUCAUGUGCGAGCCGGUGCAACUGUUUAUUCUCAUGCUUGAGCCCUCUAAUCUCCUGUUUGAGACUCAUCACUUCAGCCGCCAAUGAUUCAACUUGGCGGGUUCGAGCAAAUAGGCGUUGGGCCAUAUUAGACACAGAACCUGCACACUGAACACUGAAGAGCCAGAGAAUCCUUAACAGCCAACUCAUCAGACCGUUUGGAAAGUAGUCUGUUAUCUUUGGGAGUGAGAAGGUUCCUAGGCCACUACCGCAGCGGUCAUAUCAUUCUUCAUCACGGAAUCCCCAACGGUAAGAGGACCAGUAGGGGAGACGAAGGAUGGGCGCCAUAUGUUGUCUGAAGAAGGCGGGGCUGCCUCUUCAACAAGGUUCAAGUCAAAACGACGGUCGGAGGGGCCAGACAUUUUCAAAGGUGUUGAAGAGAGAAGAGGUCGGACAAAUCAAGAUCUUAGAAGUGCAAGAAUGGAGCUUCUACUGGUGGAUAUUCAAGUGUGCUUUGGAACUUAAUGUCAGCCCCUAUAAAAAAUCUGCACUCGACGAAGCUUCAGAAAUCGAAGAGGCGCCUGCUCAGAAAUCGAAGAGGCGUUUGCUUUCUCAAAAGCUGGGCUGCUCAGAGACCACGAGGGUUUGAUCUCAGAAAUCGAAGAGGCGUUUGCUUUCUCAAAAGCUGGGCUGCUCAAAGACCACGAAGGCCGAUCUCAGAAAUCGAAGAGGCUUGCUUUCUCAAAAGCUGGGCUGCUCAGAGACCACGAGGGCCGAUCUUAGAAAUCGAAGAGGCACCUACUUUUCCAGCCUUGUCAGCACCUGUCACACGCACACUCAGCUUUGCGGAAAUUAUGGGCAUUCUGUCGAAGAUUUCUGGUGAAGUAGAAAGCACAUGAAUCGUACUGUUCAAUCACCCACUUCCCACACGCAACAGUAGCUCAUGGGUACCACAGAUAACUUUGCCAAAGUUCUCUGACAAAGUUGAGACACGUGAAGCUUGCAGCUCCCACUACAUCGCUCUGACCAAGAAGGGUAAAAGAAUAGCAAAGAAACAACACUAACAAAGUUUAGACACAUAAAUUUUGAAGGUCUAGCUACCAUAUUAUUACCCACAAGGGUAAAGGAACAGUACCACUGCUGGAUAAUUGGAAAGUCCCGGUGUGUCAACCUCUGUGCUUCGUGGCAAGGUAGACUAGCAAACAUGCCCAACCUUUACUCACAUUCGAGAAAACACUCCCAACAAGAUUGCUUGCUCCAAAAUCGAAGAGGCACCCGCUCCUCCGAAUCUCGAGAGCCAGACUCCCAACAUGAUUACUUUCUCAAAAAUCGAAGAGACAUCCGCUCUCCGAAUCUCGAGAGCCAGACCUCCAGCAGGAUUGCUUUCUCAAAAAUCGAAAAGGCAUCGUUCUCCGAAUCUCAAGAGCUGGAUCCCUGACAGGAUUGCUUGUUCGAAAACCAAAGAGGCACCACUUUCCCAACUUCAAGAGCUGGAUCUCCUUGGAUAAAGCUUGUCUGUAAUCUUCACACACGCAACAUCAGCUUUUCCAGAUACCACAGACCCACUUUUUCAAAGUGCUCUGACAGAGUUAAAACUUGUGAAGCUGGCAGCUCCCACUACCGUGCUAUGACCAAGCAGGGUAAAGGAAUAGCAUUAUUACUUGAUGUUAGGGAGACUCCUAUAUAUGUCGACCUCCAUCCCCAACGGACAGGCAGACCUGCAAAAAUGCUCAACCCUUCCUCUUAUCUGAGAGGGCACUCCCAACGAAGCCUUUCGAAAUAUUCAGCUUUCUUUCCCCCCGAUAAUACCUCUGUAAACAAGCUAUACUAGAGCAAGAAUAUCUCAUAUCAUCAGGGUUAAAAGCAAGAGUAUCCCAUAUCAUGCUUUUUUCCCGUCUUUUCCUUUGGCCUUGUUCUUACCUGCAAGACAAGGAGAAAGAGAGCAAUCAGUCAGCACUUGGAAUCAAGCUUCCAGCCAGGAACUGACUGCCUGGAACCCCUUACCUGAUUACUUACCUGGCAUUGCUCUCGAGUACUCAUCUUCAACAUCUUAUGCUUCCAGGGAAGAUACCGCAAUCGCCUGAAGAACAGAUAGGGCAAGUGAGAAGGAUACAAGGAAGCAUGUGGAGACAAGCGUAACAGCACACGUGCCGAUACAUCCACUACUCUGUCAAAAGCAAAAGUAUCUCAUAUCAGCAGGGUCGAACGUACUCUAGAUUUGAUGGACUUGUUUUGACCCUCAAAUUCUUCAGUCGGCCUUAUACUCUGGAGGAAACCAGAAAACCCUCCAGCCCAGUUCAAGAAUAAGCCUGUGGAAAGUUACUUCUUCAAAAGCAAAAAGUAUCCCAUAUCAUCUCUUCUCAUUUUUCUUCUCUUUAUCCUUCAUGCUGCAUGCAAGAUAGGGAGAAUGUGAACAAUCAGCCGGAGCUCUGAUUGCUUACCUUGUCUGUCAUCUCUUUCAGCAGAUCCCCUAGCUCGGCGACUUAGGGGACUCCUACUACAUGGUUUGUAUCGCGCUUGACCAAGCCUGAAACUACAAGUAAGCUUCAAGUGACAAUUGAUACAUUACCUUGUGCAUCUCCACCAGUUACAGAUACCACCCCUGGAUGGAGGAAGAGUACUUCCAGAGAAGAUGCCACAUCUACCUAUGAGACAGAUAAGGAAAGUCAAGACGAUACCACACUCCGGUACUUAGAAGUUUCGUGGUUACGAGAUCAUUCUCCCACAAUAUUUCCUAAUGUCAUUUGUACUAAAUCAUUCACUUGUACUCACUAAAGGAGAGCUUGAACCUAUGUACUUGUGUAAACCCUUCACAAUUAAUGAGAACUCCUCUAUUCCGUGGACGUAGCCAAUCUGGGUGAACCACGUACAUCUUGUGUUUGCUUUCCUAUCUCUAUCCAUUUAUAUACUUAUCCACACUAAUGACCGGAGCAAUCUAGCGAAGAUCACAAAAAGUGACCGUUUUCGCUACCUAGGAUCUAUCCUUGCAAGAGAACGGAGAAUUAGAUGGAGAUCUCAACCAUAGAAUACAAGCUGGAUGGAUGAAGUGUAAGAGUGCAUCCGGCGUGUUGUGUGACCGUCGUAGGCCACUGAAGCUCAAGGGAAAAUUUUAUUUUAUAGGACGGCAAUAAGGCCAGCGAUGUUGUAUGGCACAGAAUGUUGGGCGGUGAAGCAUCAACACGUACACAAAAUGGGUGUAGCGGAGAUAAGGAUGCUUCGUGGGAUGUAUGGGCACACGAGAAAGGAUAAGAUUGGGAAUGAGGAUAUCCGAGGUAAAGUAGGAGUAGCCAAAAUUGAAGGAAAUAUGAGAGAAAAUCGGUUCCAGUGGUUUGGACAUGUGCAAAGAAGGCCUACUGACGCUCCGGUUCGAAAAUGUGACUACGGGACAGAGGUUCAGGGCCGAAGGGGUAGAGGAAGACCUAGGAAAACUUUGGAAGAGACCCUAAGAAAAGACUUGAGUACUUGGAUCUAACGGAGGACAUGACACAAAACCGAGCGCAAUGGCGUUCUAGGAUUCAUAUAGCCGACCCCACUUAGUGGGAAAAGGCUUUGUUGUUGUUGUUGUUGUUGUGGUCACUCUUAAAACCUUACCUAAGAGACCCAAAAACAAAAAUAACCGCCGAAAGAGCUAAACAUACAUAUAUAGAAAAACUUAAUUAACUGCAUGCUAAAAUGGAAGUGUAAAAUUGCCAAGAAAGAUAAGAAACUAUUUAAAUACGAAUUCUGGGCAUUACCGCCACAAAAGGCAUGAGCCGAACAGCUAUCAACAAGAACACACUUCCCAUUCAUCCAGAUAGCCCUUGUAUUUCACAUCCAUAUCUGCAUUUUCCAACAAUUCCCACUUAAACAGAAACACAAAAUUCAUCGAAAAAAUGCUAACUUCUUCGAAAUUUGAAUCCAACGUUUCGUCUUAUAACAAAUGCAAUAACAUAGAUUUGUAAUCAAUUCGAUGCCAUAAAGUUCAAGCUCAAAAUUUCAAAUCAGCUCCAAAUCAAAAGCAUUUACAGAUACAUACAUAUAUACAUAUGCGUGUGUGUGUUUAUCUACAUACCCAGGUUCAUGGCGUUGAGAGCUCGGCAGGCGACGGAGGGUGAUGACGGCGACGCCAAUUGGGUGGACGCUGCCCUUCGAAUUGGGUCGCUCCUCGCAAUAAGCUUCCCAUUACUUCCGUUUGAGAGUGACUGUCAGUGUAGAGAGAGGGAUUUUUUUUUUGUGCUUCUGGACCGGACUACACUUGAUGUUUCGGUUAUAUUACCGGGAAAAAGAACUGCCGCGGUGGCUACGCAGGGAAACUUGAAAUUUGAAAGAAGUAUGAAGUAUGGACUUGCCUUCAUUUAUUGAACUGAGAAAUCGAAAUCUGAAAGAGGCGUUUGACGAAGUGAUUGUGAUCUGACUCAAACAUGUGAUGAUGACGAUGCAUCACCACCUUGGUUGUGCCUCUGGAUCAAAAACAUACCAUCACCAUCAAAAUCGUGCAUAUUUUCCUUCAUAGGUUUGUCCCAUACUAGAUUAACCCCUAUUCCCUUAAUUAUUGCAUAAUAAGAAUUAUAGCAUGUCUCUGGCAUUCCAACGGCUAUAUCAACUUUAUCCCCGCUUUGCAAAUUGAACUUAUCGUUGGACAUUUGUCCCUGCCAAAGAAAACAUUUUUCAGGUAAACCAUCGUGCAUUUUUAUAACCCAAUCUUCCUUGCCUAUGCAGGUUUGCAACUCAGUACGCUUGGUAUUAUUUAUAUCAAUACUGCCACGAGGAUGACAAUAUUUAAAGCUCAUAGAAGGGCUUGAGGGACAAGUUAAGUGAUAAAAGCAUAACAGAGUCAACCCUUCAAAAUUACGACCAUCACUUGGGGGGUAUCAAAACUGACUUUAUCACCAUCGUUGACAAACUCGAACCAAUCAGGAACAUAAUUCGCAUCGAGAAAAAUGCCAGCAUAUCCGUAAGAAGUCCAUCCCUAUAUAUACAGUGCAAGUGUCAUAUACAUACAUACAUACAUACAUACAUACAUAUAUGUAAAUGUGCAUUGUGUGUGCAUGUGCGCAAUAGGAAGACAAUUAAAGAGAGAGAUACCUUUAGGACCUUCCUCCUAAAAUCAGCUGUGAGAUUGGUGCACUUUUGCAUUACAAUCCAUUUCAUGGAGUUUAAUGACUUAUCCAAGUCCGGAAUCUCUGUGAGUGCGUGUGAACCAGUUACAUUCAGUUCUCUCAUAUUUGACAUUUUCGAAAAAUUGGGCAUUUUUACCAAACAACAGCAACCAUAAGCAUCCAGAAAUUUCAAAUUUGUUGGUAAAUCAUAGAUUGUAUGAAGCUGGGAACAAUAACUUAACCACAUACCUUCAAGCUUUGAAAGACCAUUGAGGCUGGGUAGGGUGUGUAAGAUACUGCAGUGACUUAACUCCAGAGUUUUAAGAUUUGAAAGACCAUUGAGGCUGGGUAGGGUGUGUAAGUUACUGCUGUGACUUAAUUCCAGAGUUUCAAGAUUUGAAAGACCAUUGAGGCAGGGAAGGGUGUGUAAGUUACCACAGUGAUUUAACCACAUAGUUUUAAGAUUUGAAAGACCAUUGAGGCUGGGUAGGGUGUGUAAGUUACUGCAGUGACUUAACCACAGAGUUUUAAGAUUUGAAAGAUCAUUGAGGCUGGGUAGGAUGUGUAAGUUACUGCAGUGACUUAACCCUAGAGUUUUAAGAUUUGAAAGACCAUUGAGGCUGGGUAGGAUGUGUAAGUUACUGCAGUGACUUAACUCCAGGGUUUUAAGAUUUGAAAGACCAUUGAGGCUAGGUAGGGUGUGUAAGUUACUGCAGUGACUUAACCAUAGAGUUUUAAGAUUUGAAAGACAAUUAAGGCUGGGUAGGGUGUGUAAGUUACUGCAUUGACUUAACCCCAGAGUUUUAAGAUUUGAAAGACCAUUGAGGCUGGGUAGGGUGUGUAAGUUACUGCAGUGACUUAACUCCAUACCUUCAAGCUUUGAAAGACCAUUGAGGCUGGGUAGGGUGUGUAAGUUACUGCAGUGACUUAACUCCAGAGUUUCAAGAUUUGAAAGACCAUUAAGGCUGGGUAGGGUGUGUAAGUUACUGCAGUGACUUAACUCCAGGGUUUUAAGCUUUGAAAGACCAUUGAGGCUGGGUAAGGUGUGUAAGUUACUGCAGUGACUUAACCACAGAGUUUUAAGAUUUGAAAGACCAUUGAGGCUGGGUAGGGUGUGUAAGUUACUGCAUUGACUUAACCCCAGAAUUUUAAGAUUUGAAAGACCAUUGAGGCUGGGUAGGAUGUGUAAGUUACUGCAGUGACUUAACUCCAAAGUUUUAAGCUUUGAAAGACCAUUGAGGCUGGGUAGGGUGUGUAAGUUACUGCAGUGACUUAACUCCAGAGUUUUAAGCUUUGAAAGACCAUUGAGGCUGGGUAGGGAGUGUAAGUUACUGCAGCGACUUAACCCCAGAGUUUUAAGCUUUGAAAGACCAUUGAGGCUGGGUAGGGUGUGUAAGUUACUGCAAUGACUUAACCCCAGAGUUUUAAGAUUUGAAAGACCAUUGAGGCUGGGUAAGGUGUAUAAGUUACUGCAGUGAUUUAACUCCAGAGUUUUAAGUUGUGAAAGACCACUCAGGCCGGGUAGGGUAUGAAGGUUACAGCAGUUACUUAACUGCAAAUUUUCAAGUUUUGAAAGACCACAUAGGCUGGGUAGGGUAUGAAAAUAAUGUUUUGAGAGAUCUAAAUUUCCGUCUAACGAAUUGGGAAACUGCAAAGUAAACUUCGAUUCCACAGACGCUAGAGAUAAAUGAGUGAGAUUCUUCAAUCUUACUAUGGAACAGGGUACUUGUCUUAUGGCUGUGGAAGAUGCUAUAAGUACUCUCAAUGAUGUCAUCUUCCCUAAAUCCUCGGGCAGUUCACUGAAUUGCUGACAUCCAUUAAGAACAAGAGUCUGAACGGAUUUGGACUUGUAGAAAUCCCCAGGAAGAGAAAUAAGAUUCUGGCAGCCUGUGAGGUUCACCAAAGAAAGUUUUUUAAGAUGACAAAUGGAGGGGUGAAUCUCGGACAAACUGUUACACCAUUCCAAUAUCAACUCUUCAAGAUUUAGGAGAUUUGAAAAGUCUGGUGAUUUUUUUAAGUCAAGGCAAUAACUGAGAUUAAGGAUUUUCAAGUUUCCAAGCGACUGUUGCACAAAAUCAAAGGAAAAUUAAAAUUAAUAUCCAAAAACAAAUGGAAACAUAACAUCAUCAUGUGUAAUCGAUUGUACCUUGGAGCCCUCCCAAACUUGUACAAGUCUGCUAUACGCUAUCUCUAAAAUAACCAGUGCUCUUGGUUGAUCAAAGAAGUGAUCUGGUAUGGACUUUAAAGGGCAUCCAAACCAACGCAACCAUAUUAACUCUUUGGAAAGAUGUUUGUAUUCUCCAUUGAGCUGCACGUUGUAGAGCUGCAGCAGUCUCAGUUUCUUCAUAUUGGCAAAUGCUUCUGUACUGAAGCUUCGAAGCCUUUGCAGCCAAUGAUCUCCAGAAAAAUUAAGAGCAAGUCCUUUAACUUCUUCAGUUCCCUGUUAACAAAAGGUUAUAUUCAUGUGUAAGAAACGGAAUAUUUGCAUAUGUUUACAUGUAUGAAUACAUGCAAGUACUAUUGUUGGCUAAUUGAGAUGAUGUUACUUAAUGUAUAAUACACAUCCGUGAGUUAUAUGUGCUUUUCAUGUACGAUGCAUCAAUUCAGAAUUUUAUUGGGACUAUACUUACAAAUUUAUCUCUCAAUACAUCAAUGACCUCUUGCUGGUUCCACAACCUACUCCAUUCUCCAGGGUGACGAGGGGAUUUUUCAGAAAUGAUUAAUUUGGCCAUUUCUUGAAGCAAAUCAUGCAUAUUCAACUUCUUGUGUUCAAUAGUGAUAAGGCAUCGUUCACAGAGGACAUUGAUUCCUAUUGUUGCAAAAAACUUACAUCCAUCUAAUAUUUUUGCGACAUAGUCCUUAUCCCAUCCAAUAAAGAAACAAGAUAUGUCAAGGAAUAUAUCCUUUUGUGUAGGAUCUAGCCUUUCAAAGCUUACUCUUAGUGGUUUCAUUAUUCCUUCAUCAGGAAAUUUUUUCAAUUUCUCCAACUGACUUUUCUACUCUGUUGGUGUUCUUUCAAUCAUAAAAGAAGAACCUAAAACUGCAAGGGCUAGUGGCAAACCACCACAGUAAGAAACAACCUCUUUUGAGAGUUCAAGAUAUCCUUCAUUAGGCCAACUCUUUCCAAAGGCAUGCCAACUAAAGAGCUUCAGAGCUUCUUCUUCAUUCAUUUCCUUAAGUGAAUAUGUCUUGUCCACUUUCAUGUUCACUUGCUUUAGAAAACGUUCAUCUCGUGUCGUUAUGAUAAUUCUACUUCCUGGGCCAAACCAAUCACGAUUUCCAGCUAUUGCAUCUAGUUGUUCCACUUUGUCUACAUUGUCAAUAAUGACAAGCACGCUUCUACGUUGGAGAUGAUUUUUUAUCAGACUGAUACCUCUAUCAACACUGGUUAUCUUAGACUCGGUAUGUUUCAAGAUGUCAGAAACAAGUCUUCCUUGCAAAUCAACCAGAUCACAUUCACUAACGUUGGCAAGGAAACUUUUGAAUUGGAACUUAUGAUGAAGUUGGUUAUAAAUGGCUUUGGCAGCUGUUGUUUUACCCAAUCCACCAAUCCCCCAAAUUCCAACCAUGCGAACAACAUAUGAUCCACCAUUUGAAAGAUAAGUGAUGAUAUCUUGAAUGCGAGUAUAUAUUCCAACUGGGUGCUUGGCCAAAUGUAAAUUUUCUGCGCUCGGAAGCCAUUUUGGGAUAAUCUUGUCAACAAUUUCUCUAAUAAGCUUUGCUUCGCGCCUGAAAAAUUGAAUUGGUAAGCUUAGUAAGUAGGCUCAGUAGGAGCUAUUAGUACUAAUAUAAACAAUUUUCUUUCCUUCUUUCCUUCGUGUGUGUGUGUGUGUGUGUACAUAUAUGUACACAAACUAGCUACUAGCUAGUACGUGAUUUUGUGACCAACUUCAAUAAAAGAAACAAGUUCAUUCAUUGAUAUAUUAAAGUUUGGUGCAUCAAUUAAACUCCAAUUAUGGUUUAGAUUUUAGAGGAAAUUAGAGAAAUGGUCCUUGAACUAUGAUCAAAUUGUGGCCUUGGUUCUUAAAACUAAAAAUUCAAUAAAUCUCCUCCCUGAACUUAACAAAAUAUGAAGCAUUGGUCCCUAAAUGUUAACACCGUAUGAUUUUCUGUUAAUUUGAUUAUGUCGUCUUUGUGGGCUCCAUAUUAUUGUUUACUAGAUGGCACGUGGCUUGAAAAGUCAAAAUAAAAGAAAAUAAAUACAAACAUAGAGAAAGAAAGAGAGAGAAAAAAAAACUUUAAAUUAUAAAAGUUAACUCUCUCUCCCAUCCUCCCUUCCGCCUCACCUCCUCCAAACCCCAACCACACCAUUGUAGCACUUUCCCAACAGCCAAAACAAAAGAAAGUUUCUAAUCCAAUUUUGGAACACGUCUCCGUUUGCAAACGAAUUCACAAUGACAUCCAUUCACGCUGUCUCGACAGGUAAGAUUCAAGAAAUUUGUGGGAUGCGGGUUCGGGGUUCGGGUGAAGGCUGUGGUCCGUGGGCUACAGUUUGGAGUCGGCUGGAGAGUGGGAUUAGGGAUUGGGGGUUGGAAGUGGGAGGUUGACGGGGUGUGAAUCAAAGAUUGAAGGUGAAGGGGUGGCUGCGAGUGUUGGUGGGAUGAGGUAGGUGAAACUAACAUGUAAAGUUGUAAACCCUUUUAACUAAAAUUUAAAGGAAUUGGUUACGAAGGACUAACGCUCCAUAUUUUAUCAAGUUCAAGGGCAAAAUGUAAUGAAUUUUUAGUUUAGGAACCACAGCUACAAUUUUCCUCUAGAUUUUAUAUGAGAGAUUAAGGCGUAUUAAUUAAGCAUGAUAAUUAGAGUAAUACAACUUAAAUACUGAAAGCACAUGAAUGAUUACCUAUUAUCAGUGAUUUGAAGAUGGUAGCCAGACAAAUUUGCAGCUUUUGUAAGAACCUCUCCCCACUGCUUUACCUCUUCUUGUUUAGCUUCACGUUUCUUGUCAUCCUUUUCUUCACCGACGCCUUCUUCGUGCUUUUGAAAUUCUUCGGCUGACUUUGCAGCUUCUGUAAGAGCCUUUAUCCACUGCUCUACCCUUUCUCGUUUUUCUUCACGUUUCUUGUCAUCUUUUUCUUCACUGAUGUCAUUUUUGUGCUUCUGAAAUGCUUGGGCUAAAACUCCGUUCUGCUUCCUGACAUGUGAAGGAUCAAUGUGAUAGAAUAUUGGCAAAACAUGUCGCCCCAGUUUGUCUCUGCACUCCAUGAUCUUCACCAGCUCGUUAAGACACCAACUCGAAUCCGCAUACCUCUCUGAGAAGACAAUGAUAGAGGUCUUCGAUUCUUCGAUUGCCUGGAGCAGUUCUUUUGGUAUUUCUUCCCCUCUUUUGAGAUCGUCCUCAUCAAUAUAAGCCUGGUAUCCCCUGUCUGUUAAUGCCGCGUGGAGGUGGCCCGUGAAGCCAUUGCGUGUGUCUACACCGCUAAAGCUCAAGAACACGUCGUAAUUCCAAAGUUUUGACUUGGAGGAGGAUGAAGAGGAGGCUUCGUGGGUUGUCAUGGCGGUAUCCACCGUUAUGGCACUGCAGUGGUUCAGAUCACGACUGAAGAAUGGUAGUAGUUGUGUUCGUGCAUUCAAACGGAUGAUCCUGAAAUACCUAAACGCAAGUCAAGCUCCUUCAGUCAACAAGAACAAAGUUUAUAAUAUAAUAAUUUUGGCGUAUGGACUUGAGAAACGACAUAGUGUUGGCCGGAAGGUGCAGAAAAAGAGAGAGGAAAAAAGAAAAGAAAGGAACGAAAGGACAAAGACCAUCCAAAAGAUUCUUGGCUGUGAUUACAGCUAUUCAUAGGAGAAACAACGGACAUAUUUUCAUAGGAGAAACAACCUUCCCAUCUUCAUAUAUAAUGCAUUUCAACGGACAUAUUUUAAUAGGAGAAACAACUUUAGUUUGUACUAGAAAUUUUUACCCGCACGUUGAUGCGGCAUUUGAAAUUGUAUGAAAGAUUAUCUUUGAAAUAUAUAAUAGAUUGUGUGAUUGAAGAUUAAUACUAUUUACAUUGAAAACGUUGGAAAAAGUUUUACAUAUAAAAGAUUUUAUGAUACAAUCCACGUAUAAAAGAUGGUAAAUUUUGUUCUAUCUACAUGCAUUAUGUUAUGGAAUGAUAUAUAUAUAUAUAUAACUAAGUUCCAGAAUAUGUAAACUUCAUAACUUGGAAAUUUUUUGACAAAUUAAUCAGAUUCAACUGUGGGUUAGCAAGGUCGCCUAUAAAGUUUGAAGUCGUAGAAGCAUAAAGGACAAAUAACAAAUGAGUUUUGAGAAAUUAUUCCACAAAUGUCAUUCUGCAAAAUGUAUUAAAGACGAUUGGUAUAAGAUUAGCAAUCAUGAGUAGUGUAACAACAUCAACAAAAUAACCAUAAACCAUAACAUAAUUCAAAUUUUGUUUGCAAAAACAAAAGAAAAAGAAAAGAGACUUACAAUAAUUCAACCUUCAAUCUUGAAGUCCAGCUCAAAGAGCCAAACCUAAAUGCAAGCUUUCUGAAAUUUCCCAAACAAUACAGAUAAAACGGUAACACCCUAGUCAGAAAUGAACCAAGGUGCGAGCUUUCUAAGAAACCCAGAUGACAAAAUCAACAAAAUAGAAUGGAAAAAUGACUUACACUUUGAAGGCAUGCUCGAACCUUGAUCUAAAAUUGGUGGUGGGUCGAUUGUUGGUCACCAACUCUAAAUGAAGAAUUCAUCAGAACCUAGAAAUUUAAAACAAAGAAUUUUCCAAAAUCAACAUUUACUAAAAACCAGUUGCUUGGUUAUCAUGCAUGAUGGCUUGACAAAGACUGAAUUAAGGAAUGCAAACUUUACUUUCAUGAUUAUUUUUAAUGACAGCUAAAAGGUCAGAUCCAAAUGAAAAUAAAAGUUAGGACUUCACAAAACCAAUUAAAAAUCUAAUUCUAAAGUUAUAAGCACCCACAAAAUGAUUCCAGAUAAAGUUUUACACUCAAGGUCAAACCCAAAUGAAAUUAAAAGUUAGGACUUCACAAAACCAAUUGAAAAUCUGAUUCCAAAGUUCCAAACACCCACCAAAUGAUUCCAGAUAAAGUUUAAACUCAAAAACCCAAUAGAAACAAAAGCACUGGUAUAAAUUAACUGUAUCUAAUUGAAGAAACUAAAACAAAAGUAAAGCAAAGUAUAUACCUCAAAAUGUCAAGCAACUAAGUUCUUCCUCCGACGACCCAAAACUCUGAAAAUUCCACACAAAAAAAAAGGCAAAUCCAUUAGCAAUUCAUAGCUUUCAAAAUUAGCAAAAACUUGGGCAACAAUAAAGAUGUGUCUAGAACCAUCAAUCUUUCUCCUUAUGCAUUUGAAAAGAUAUGUUAUAAGCAGUUUAUGUAGUCAUUCUGAACAUGUUGCAUAUAAAUUCCUUUUCUACAGGGUUCAAAAAAAUAUGGCAGUUUAUGGAAUCUGUUGAAUGACAUAGUUGAAAGAUUUAAAAUUGAUACAUUCAAUUUUUAUGUGUAAAACUAUAACAUAUAGCUAAAGCUAUUGGGUCCAUAUCAGUCAUGUCGUAAUUGAAUGUUUAUCGAUGUAAAUAGAUGAUUUCAGUCAUGGGAUAACAUGUUUCUUGAUAGUAUACGCUGAAGUUUGGUCUAAGUUGGAUAUAAAUCGACCAAAAUCUUAAUAAGAGACUUUUUUAACUUUUAACCAAAAAAUGAGCACCACAAUACUACACUUAUAAGUUUUAUCAUGCACAAAAUACACAGCACUGAUUGCCACUUUUAGAGCAAGAACAAUACUUUACCAAAAGAAAACAACAAAACACCCAAAACCCAGAAACAUAAACACACUUAGGACUCAAACUCCUCAAAAACAUGAGAAAGAGAGAGAGUGUGUGAGGAGAAAGAAUAAAAAAAAAAAUUAUUUUUCACACAAACUCAAAAUUGCUUAUAAAAUUACAAAUGAAUGCAAAUCCAAAAUUGCCCUAAAUUAAAUCUGAUUAGUUAAAUGUUUGUUGCCCCAGAAAUUUCGUUACACCUCACAAAACUUGCUUUGAAGUUGAUAUUUUGGUCAAUCCAGGGGAAAAGGAGUUAUUGGUUUUGGAGCAGUUGUCAUGGAGAAUACCAUCUCCCUGUAGAAUGAUCUAAAAAAGGACUUACAGCUUAUGGUGGCCAUAAUAAUUUAGGAGGCCCUUCUCUCCAAAUUUUCUCAAUAACUUUCCUUUUCGUAGCUGGUAAGAUUGCAACUCCGAGAAUUGCUUUGAAGAGAUAUACACAAACAAAAUACCAAAACUAAGCUAUUGGAAGAAAUUUAGAAAACACAAGCACCAUUACAACUCAGAGUUAAAAGUCAACAGAAACCAAAUGGUACAAGUUGAAAAAAUAUAUGGUCAUGAAUCGAGAACUUCAUCAAACUAACAGCAAUAAAAUCUCAUAUAAUCCGUCAAAAACCAAAAAAGAGAUUCAAGACCUUGUAACGUCGAGGCCUCGUACAGUUGUAGUAAUAAUUUAUGGUUGAUGCACCUGUUGCUCAAUCAAAUCCUUCGUCUGGCUAAAAAAAUAAAAAUCUAUAAAUACAUUCACGUCCAAUUUAUGAGAAAUCAUGGGAAAGAAAAUGUGAAUAUGAAGAACUUAACAAAAAGAAAAAGAAAACUUCUUAUAGUGUGCUAAGAACAUCCUCCUACUCCUAGCAAAUUUUUUAUGGCAUUAUCCACUUCUCAAUUCAUAAUUCAACCAGUAACUCAAAGUCUAUAGUGUAUGAAAAAGUGAUAUCUUAGUUGAUCACGAUGAUAAUCAAAAAGGAAGAAACAACCAAACAAAAUUAUUAGGUCUGGGAUAUACCUUUAUCUGAAACACCACAAUCAUCAAAGUGAAACACAAACAAUCCAAAAAUUUGUGGAAAAUACCAAUAAAUGCUCAACUAAAAACGAAAGAAAAAGUAGAAUAAGUUUACCUGUUCCUCCCCUAAUUAAACUGCAAUACAAUUCACCACUGAUAUUCUCGUCAUCCUCUUCAGCCUGAAAAAUUUAGUAGAAAAUAAUGGUAAGAAUCUAGCAGUAUUUCCAUUGUUCAAAACCCAAAUUCCAGAAAUCAUGAAAAAUGGAAACUUUAUAUGGAAAUUGAACCCCCAAAAUCACAAAAAGGAAAAUUGAACAGAAAAUAAAUUUGCAAAUCCAAAAUCACAAAAACGAAAUUGAAACACCCACACUGAGAAAGCUGUAAAACUCACAAGGAAACGCUAGCUUUUCUGGGUAAAAAAAAUUGUUCGAAUCGAAUUGAAGAACCGAGGAAAAUUCUACAGGUUCAGUGGUUUUUCCAGCAAGAAAGCACCUUGUUUGUAAGUCGUGAGAGGUUGGAGAGCGAGAGAAGCCGAUUUGGGAACCAAAGAAAGCGAGGUUGGAGACCGAAAGAGGCUGCGAAUUGCGAGAGAGAAAAACGAAAAGGAAAGGAAAAGCGGAGAAGAAGUCACGAUUAUCGACGCGUGGGUAGGAUUCCACUGUGAGAGGAUUGCAUUCUUUUAAGAGUGUUUCCUUAUUACAAUUUUAUGCUACUAGAUCCAUCCUAUUGUUCCAUUUCUAAACUUUAUAUUAUAAUAUCACCCAUCGUAAAAAAUUAAAAUCCUAUUAAUCCACCCCAAUUAUUUCUAAAAUAACCUCAAAUAUCUAAAUCCAUUUUUAUUUCACCCCAAUUGCAUGAUCAGGCCUCGAUUUGAAGCUAGUUGACGUUGGCCCAAAUGCCAAAUUGUUUGAAUUUCCAAUAAACAUAUUAUAAUUAUAAAAGGAUGGUGAAGAUAUGAAUCAAAUUUGAAAGAGAGAACAUUACUUGGUGAAGGAGGUGAUAGGUGAUGUUGGUAUGGGUUAUGCAGUCACCAUUGGACAUGAGAGGCUUUCUCCUCAAAAUUCCUUCUACAUCUACAGCAUGCAAAUCGAAUGAUGAUAGGUUUAUCGAAGCCCUAAUACCAACUUUAUGACAAAUCUGAACGGACCAAUAAACAACCAUGGAACGAUCUUGAGACGCGACCACUGCGCGUGAGACUCAACCAGGAAUAACUAGACCAUCAGCCGCCGUCGUCAAUAUUGUAGAGGUAGAUGGUGGGUCCGAGAACUCGAUUUUCUUGGAGCAGUUUGAGAUUGACGAAGGGACCUGACGAGGGGUUGGGGUUGUUGGUGACCGAGAGUAUAUGGGUUUGACGAUGGUGGUGGUGGUGGUGGUGGUUUGCAAUCUCUCUCUUUCCUUUUCUUGGGGUUGGACAUUCGGGUGACAGCCGCCUUGGGAUCGGAUGUCAAUGGGGACGUGCUUGAGAGCCAUGAUGACGACGCGAGCGUGGGUGGGGAGAAUUUUCCAGGUCCUUUGAUGUAAUUUUACAAAAGGGUAAAAAUGGAAGUAAAAAAAUUAUAAACUAGUGGGGUGGGAAGAUAAGACAACGGGGUUGUUGUGGUCUAUUUUUAUCUGAUAAAGCAAUAGGGCCGGCGGCAGGGGGAGAGAGAAAAGAGAGAUGUGUGUUUGUAGAAUUGUAGGGGAAUGUGUGUUGUUAUCUCUCAUACAUUGUGCCUUUAUUUAUAGUAGUAAAAGGAGAGAAGAUAUUCCUUCUUCUCCAAGUAAUAUAAGUUGUAAUAGGAAAGAAUAACUAGAAUCAAAUCUAAUAUAGGAUUUACACAAUUUACAAGUUGUUAUCCCUCCUACAUUGUGCCUUCUUCUUCAUAAGAGUUUGAAAGAAGUAUGAAAUAUUGACUUGUUGAUGAUGAAGUUGAUAGUGAAAUGUAGUAACGGUUAAUUUAACAGAAUUUUUAACGGAUGUAUGAAAUUAAAAAAUAAUAUAAGUAAAUGUAUGAAAUUAAAAUGUUUUAAAGAAAUUGUAUGAAGUUGCAAUUGACCCCAAAUACGAGAGAUAAAACAUAAUUUACACAAAAAACAAAGAUCAGAUUUGUAAAAAUGCACCACAUAGUAGUUAAAACAUCCGGACGUAAAUGAAUGGUUUGAGAUACCAUCAUAGUAGCAUCUUUCAGUGUAAGUUUUUCUCAUAUCGGAUCACUUACCAGUAGAAAAGUGUAAUACCGUGUCGGGAAAGGAAGUCAAUGAUGAAAAGAGAGCAAUUUAGCUUUAAAAAUAAGGAAAACUAAUGAAAAGAGUUUGAAAACUUUGCGUUUAAUGAUAAGGACAAAAUAAAAGGAUAAAGUGAAUAGUACUAUGAUUGAUUUUUUAGUGUAAAAAUAUGGUUUUUCGUUAAAGUUUCCUUAAAAAUAUUGCGUCCUCCGUAUGAUGUUUGCAACAUGUGUCGCCAGAGUAUCAACUUGAAGCUCUCCACAUCUCCGUCGUCAAAUGUUUUGUAAGCAGCAUUGUUUAAGUUCUCUCUGUCAGGGAAACUGCAGAUGGGUUUGAUGAAGAAGAAUGGAAAAUAUAAUUUUUAGAAAAUGAGAAAGAAAAUUAUAAAACUUCAUUAAUGAAAUUUCUUUAUCAACAAAAAAAGAUGAAAAUAUAUCUUUGUCUUCUAUCACAACAAAAAAGUUAAGGACAGUAACGUAAUUUUACAAGAUAAAAUUUUACUUUUUUUUUAAAUCUCACAUAUAUGUAAGUUUAUCAUCUUUAAUUUAAAAAAUAUAAAAAAACCUCUCUUCCACGUUCUCUCUCACUCUCUUCCUCUCCUUCAAAUUUAACAACCAAAGUAAAAAAAUUCAUACGCUUUGUGUGUGGACAUAUACUAGUUGAAAUUUAAAAAAGGAGACUUAAAAAGAGAGAUUUAAUAUUUUCUAGGUUGUCUUGGGAGUUGGCAAUGACAGUAAGAGAGGAGAAUCUCGGGUUCCACUGGAAAGGAGGAAAUUUUUCAAAGCGAGAAGGUAGGGGUUUUUUCACUUGCUCUCUUGGUCUUUGGGCUUUUGGAUUGGAUUGGGACAAUUCCAAUUACCCCAUCCCAACUUACGACUUUUUAUCGGUCUAUAUUGGCUAAAGUGAACGUACUAAAAUAGAAAUUUGAGAACUUGAAUUAAGGUCUUGAAUUAGCGAAUGAAUGUCCAGUAAGAAUGUCAUGUAGUCGGACUUGUAAGGCUACCCUUAAUAAGUAGUCACGUUUGUCAAAACUGGUCUAUCUGAUUAUAAUUGUAACCAUAUUAUGUGUGACACAUGAUCAAACUUGAAGGGUUGUCCAAUAAGAAGUUGUCAUGUUGUCAAGCGUAGGGCCAAAGGUGAGCACUUUCCUACCAAAGUGUUUUCUUUUUCCCCUUUUCAAGGGAUUUGUGUCACCAUUAGAUAGGAGAUUCAAACACAAGACCUUGAAUUUAGAGGCAAACGCUUUAAAAAAGCUUCUCUGAUUCAUCUCCUCUGACUUUGACGGGUUCCACUUCGGAUUCUGCAUUGACAGGAAACCGAAGCCAAAGAUAAAGAUCCGUUCUGAUAUACAGAAAGUAAGAUGAUUAUCAACUGUAGGUCUAGUAGAGGCUGUAAUUGUUCUGUCACUUUAUAGUAAGGAAUCUUGAGCAUAAUUAACGAACCUGAUCCUUGUCCACCAAAACUGCCGUACACCUUCAGCAAAAUCAUUCCGCAAAUACAAUCUUAUAGCAAUGCGAUAUUCAGUUUCAUCACACCAGUUAGUAUUGGUCAAGUAAAGCACAUGUUACUUUCUGAAAAUUUGAAAUACUACAACGCAAAACCUAUCAAAAAGAUGCAACCAUGUGAUGCAAGAAACGAAAAGGUAGAAAGUCCAGACUCACUGUGGAUAAUUGAUUGUCAUUUUUCCCAAGCGCAGAUGCAAUUUUAGCGAAUUAAUUUUGUCCCAAAGAAAGUGAGAACGGAGCUCCCUUUCCAAGACAUUAAAGAGCUUCAUUAGCCCACUCACCACUGCAAUAGAAACAAUUUGAUACAAAAUACUUGACAGCAACCAUACAAGCCGCUCAAUAGACAAAUGACAUUGACAAACAUACCAGUAGCAUCUGAACCUGCUGCUGCUUUUUAAGUUCAUCAAUUGUCUCAAGAACCGACUUAUUUGCACCAAACGCUGAAGUUAUUUGAUGUAAAAGACUUGAGUUGCGCUUCAGAAUCUGGGUUGCUGGUGAAUUUCGCCGCAGUUGUUUCAAUGUCCCCAUGGGGAUCCUAAGAACCGUAUCAACAAUGGAGUAUCUUUUAUCUCAAGAACGCAUUGGACAAUGGAGCAUCAGAAAUUGCGUCUGAGGAUAGAAAAGGCAUACCUGCAGAUCCUCCUCCCGUACUCCUUGCCGCUACAUGUGAAAACCCAUCUGGCAUAGCAAGAACAGUCCUCUGAAAUGUAUCCAUACAAAGUUAGACGCACAAAAUUUGAAAAGCCAUUGCAAUGUAAUUGACAACAUUGACAAUCUCUGUCUGACAGGGCAAAAUACCUUUGUAAUGAUCCGGUAGUGACCGUGACCUGAUAGGUCAACACCAAAGACCAUUGUUAUGCGAUCAAUGAAGCUUAUAAAGGGCUUCUUGUACUCAGAGAUUUUGCAUAUUAGAGAAUACUCAGCAGUGGAUACCUGAACGCAGCACAAAUAUCAUAUCGUUAGCCUCUCAAUAUUAAGAAAACUACAAAUGGUAGCUUAGAAAAGAAAUGAAUCCUCUCCAACCAAAUACAAAUCAUAUUACCCCAAGUUCAAGCAAAAUCAAGACUAAACAAAUGAUUAGAUGUUGUAGGUUGCCCGAGAAUGUCAACCAUGAAAUUACAAAAGAAAAAAAUAACUGUAUGUAUUGAACAUUAAUAAAUACAUGCUGAAAGCACAAUCUCAGCCGCAAUUUAUGACAUUUAUACGAGAUUGAAUCGCUAAAGCAAUUGAAGAAAUUGCAGAGCUCAUAUAAGUGAUUUUCACUUUGAAUUUUUAGGCUUAUCAACAAAUACAUCAUUACGAUUCUAAUGCAUGAAUUUUGUUAAAAGGGGCUUGCUUGCUUGUAUUAAGGCUUAAUCAUCAAUGAAUUUGCAAGAAGCAAUCGAUUUGCUAGUUGUAAAUCUAUUCACUAAUUACCAAAAUUACAUCUAAACGGUAGUGAAGGAAGUCAUCUUAUAUUAUCUGGAUUUUAGAAAACUGUGUAAGGUUAUAAGUCUGUUAUUAUAUAUAGUUAAAAGGGACACAAUUAGACCUCAAUCAUAUUUGGUGGUUGGUUUUUGGCCAUGAUCUGCUUCACAUCACCCCCUGCAAACAAAAAUGAACACUAAGAGAAACAAUAAACAAAUGACAUGAAACAACACGAACAUCAAAGACCAACAAUCUAUCACGUAAGUACCUAAACAAGAAACAACUUUAGUUCAAAGCAAAGCGUAAUGUAGAAACCUUCGGCACAAGAGGUGUGUUUUUGUCCUUUUGAAUUUCGGCAACAACCAUUUUAAUGUCCUUUCCUGCAAUUACCAUGAUUGGUCACUCUCAAAACCUUACCUAAGAGACCCAAAAACAAAAAUAACCGCCGAAAAAUUUAUUUAACUACAUGCUAAAAUGGAAGUGUAAUAUUGCCAAGAAAGAUAAGAAACUAUUCAAAUACAGAUUCUGGGCUUACCGCACAAAAGGCACGAGCCUAGCGGCUACCAAAAAGAACACACUUCACAUUUGGGUGAGAUUCCCAUUCAUCCAGAUAGCUCUUGUAUUUCACAUCCAUAUCUGCAUUUUCCAACAAUUCCCACUUAAACAGAAAUACAAAAUUCUUUGAAAAAAAGCUAACUUCUUCGAAAUGCGAAUCCAACGUUUCGUCUUAUAACAAAUGCAAUAACAUAGAUUUGUAAUCAAUACGAUGCCAUAAAGUUCAAGCUCCAAAAUUCAAAUCAGCUCCAAAUCAAAAGCAUUUACAGAUAUAUACAUAUAUACAUGUGUGUGUGUGUGUGUGUGUGUGUUUAUCUACAUACCUAGGUUCAUGGCGUUGAGAGCUUGGGGGCCGACCGAGGGUGAUGACGGCGACGCCAUUUGGGUGGACGCUGCCCUUGACGAACGCGUCGGCGGAGGCCAUGAUCCCGAAGGGGCGGAGGAGGCGAGGGGAUUUGGAUGGUUGGAAAAGAGAAAGCUUCGAAUUUGGAUUGAGGAAGAAGAAAGCGGACGACGAUUUGCUCAGAAUUUAGGUCGCUCCUCCCAAUAAGCUUCCCAUUACUUCCGGUCGGGAGUGACUGCAUCAGUGUAGAGAGAUAAAGAUAUUUUUGGUGCUUCUGGGCCGGACUACCCUUGAUGUUUCGGUUAAAUAACCGGGAAAAACAACUGCCGCAGGGAAAUUUGAAAGAGGCGUUUGACGAACUGAUUGUGAUCUGACUCAAACAUGUGAUGAUGACGAUGCAUCACCACCUUGAUUGUGUCUCUGGAUGAAAAACCUACCAUCAAGAUCAAAAUCGUGCAUAUUUUCCUUCAUAGGUUUGUCCCAUACUAGAUUAACCCCUAUUCCCUUAGCUUUCGCAUAAUUAAAUGCAUUAGUUUUCGCAUAAUUAAAUGCACCGCCUUUCAUUGGUAUUUCAAAAGUUAUAUCAACUUUAUCCCCGCUUUGCAAAUUGAGCUUAUCGUUUGAUAUUUGACCUUGCCAAAGAUAACAGCUUUCAAAUACAAUAUCGCGCAUUUUUGUAACCCAAUCUUCCUUGCCUAUGCAAGUCUGUAACUCAGUACGCUUGGUAUUAUUUAUAUCAAUACUAGCACGAGGAUGACCAUCUUUACCUCUCAUAUAAGGUCUUGGCCGAUCAAGAUAAGAGCGGUAAAAGCAUAACAGAGUUAGCCCUUCAAAACUACGACCAUCACCCGGGGGAAUAUCAAAGCUAACUUCAUUACCAUCAUUGACAAACUCGAACCAAUCAGGAACAUAAUUCCCAUUGAGAAAAAUGCCACCAUAUCCGCAAGAAGUCCAUCCCUAUAUAUAUAUUGCAAGUGUCAUAACUAUAUACAUACAUGUACAUGUGUGUUGUGUGUGUGCAUGUGCGCAAUAGGAAGACAAUUAAAGAGAGAGAGAUACCUUUAGGACGUUCCUCCUUAAAUCAGCCGUGAGUUUGGUGCACUUACUCAUAUCAAUCCAUGUCAUGGAGUUUAAUGACUUAUCCAAGUCUGGAACCUCAGUGAGUUCGUGUGAAUCACAUACAUUCAGUUCCCUCAUAUUUGACAUUUUCGAAAAAUUGGGCAUUGUUACCAAACGAUAGCAACUAGAUGCAUCCAGAAAUUUCAAAUUUGUUGGUAAAUCAUAGAUUGUAUGAAGCUGGGAGCAAUAACUUAACCACAAACUUUCAAGUUUUGAAAGACCACUGAGGCUGGGUAGGGUAUGAAAAUAAUUGACUGAGAGAUCUAAAUUUCUUAAAGAGUCUAAGCCGUGUAACGAAUCGGGAAAUUGCAAAGGAAACUUCGAUCCCACAAAAUUAUUGAGAGAUAAAUGAGUGAGAUUCUUCAAUCUUACUGUGGAACGCGGUACUUGUCUUAUGGCUGUAGUAGAUGCUUUAAGUACUCUCAAUGAUAUCAUCUUCCCUAAACCCUCGGGCAAUUCACUGAAUUGCCAACAAAAAUCAAGAACAAGAGUCUGAACGGAUUUGGACCUGUAGAAAUCCCCAGGAAGAGAAAUAAGAUUCUUGCAGCGUGUGAGGUUCACCAAAGAAAGUUUUUUAAGAUGACCAAUGGAGGGGUGAAUAUCGGACAAACUCCUACACCUUUCCAAUAUCAACUCUUCAAGAUUUGGGAGAUUUGAAAAGUCUGGUGAUUUUUUUAAGUCAGAGCAACUUCCAAGAUUAAGGACCUUCAAGUUUUCAAGUGACUGUUGCACAAAAUCAAAGAAAAAUUAAAAUUAAUAUCCAAAAGGACUAUCUCAGAAAAAAAGAAGGAAAUCCAAAAAACAAAUACAAACAUAACAUCAUCAUGUGUAAUCGAUUGUACCUUGGAGCCCUCCCAAACUUGUACCAGGUCGCUAGAUGUUAUCUCUAAAAUAACUAGUCUUGGUUGAUCAAAGAAGUCAUCUGGUAUGGACUUUAAAGGGCAUCUUUCCCAACACAACCAUAUUAACUCCUUGGGGAGAUGUUUGUAUUCUCCAUUGAGCUGCACGUUGUAGAGCUUGAGCAGUCUCAGUUUCUUCAUAUUGGCAAAUGCUUCUGUACUGAACCCAGGCAUGUUAGACCUUGGAGGCCAAGGAGGAGGGAUACCUAGAGCAAGUCCUUCAACUUCUUCAGUUCCCUGUUAACAAAAGGUUAUAUUCAUGUGUAAGAAACGGAUUAUUUGCAUACGUUUACAUGUAUGAAUACAAGCAAGUACUAUUGUUGGCUAAUUGAGAUGAAUGUUAAUGUAUAAUACACAUCCGUGAGUUAUAUGUGCUUUUCAUGUACAAUGCAUUAAUUCAGAAUUUUAUUGGGAAUGUACUUACAGAUUUAUCUCUCAAUACUUUAAUGACCUCUUGCCGGUUCCACAACCUACUCCACUCUCCAGGCUGACGAGGGGAUUUUUCAGAAAUGAUUAAUUUGGCCAUUUCUCGAAGCAAAUCAUGCAUAUUCAACACGUUGUCUUCAACAGUUAUAAGGCAUCGUUCACGGAGGUCACUGAUUCCUAUUGUUGCAAAAAAGUUACAUCCAUCUAAUAUUUUUGCGACAUAGUCCUUAUCCCAUCCAAUAAAGAAACAAGAAAUGUCAAGGAAUAUAUCCUUUUGUGUAGGAUCUAGCCUUUCAAAGCUUACUCUUAGCGGUUUCAUUAUUCCUUUAUCAGGAAAUUUUUUCAAUUUCUCCAACUGACUUUUCCACUCUAUUGGGGUUCUUUCAAUCAUAGAAGAACCUAAAACUUCAAGGGCUAUUGGCAAACCACCACAGUAAGAAACAACCUCUUUUGAGAGUUCAAGAUAUCCUUCAUUAGGCCAACUCUUUCCAAAGGCAUGCCAACUAAAGAGCUUCAGAGCUUCUUCUUCAUUCAUUUCCUUAAGCGGAUAUGUCUUGUCCACUUUCAUGUUCACUUGCUUUAGUAAACAUUCAUCUCGUGUCGUUAUGAUAAUUCUACUUCCUGGACCAAACCAAUCACGAUUUCCAGCUAUGGCAUUUAGUUGUUCCACUUUGUCUACAUUGUCAAUAAUGACAAGUACGCUUCUACGUUGGAGAUGAUUUUUUAGCAAACUGAUACCUCCAUCAACACUGGUUAUCUUAGACUCAGUCUGUUUCAAGAUGUCAGAAACAAGCUUUCCUUGCAAAUCAACCAAAUCAUAUUCACUAACGUUGGCAAGGAAACUUUUGAAUUGGAACUUAUGAUGAAUUUGGUUAUAAAUGGCUUUGGCAGCUGUUGUUUUACCUAAUCCACCCAUCCCCCAAAUUCCAACCAUGACAACGUCAUUUGAUCCACCACCUGAAAGAUGAUUGAUAAUAUCUUGAACGCGAGAAUUGAUUCCAACCGGGUGCUUGGCCACAUUUAAUUCGUUUGCACCCGGAAGCCAUUCCGUAAUGAUCUUGCCAACAAUUUCUCUAAUAAGCUUUGCUUCGCGCCUAGAUGUUGAAUUUGUAAGCAUUAGCGGGACUCAAUGAACAGUAGGAGCUAUUAGUACAUAGACAAUUUUCUUUCCUUCAUACAUAUUCUAACUAGCUACUAGCUAGCAUGUGAUUUUUUUACCAACUUGAUAAAAGAAAGAAAUUCAUUCAUUAAUUAAACUCCAAUUACGGUUUAGGUUUUAUAUGAGAGGUUAAGGUGUAUUAAUUAAGCAUGUUAAUUAUAUGAGAGAUUAAGUCAUUCACUAAAAUGUGUCAAAUCUUUAAAAGCAGGUGAAUGAUUACCCAUUGUCAAUGAUUUGAAGAUGUUGGCCAGACAAAUUUGCAGCUUCUGUAAGAGCCUUUCUCCAUUGCUUUACCCUUUCUUGUUUAGCUUCACGUUCCUUGUCAUCUUUUUCUUCACGAAUGCCCUCUUCGUGCUUCUGAAAUGCUUGAGCUAAAUCUCCGUUCUGCUUCCUAACAUGUGAAGGAUCAACAUGAUAGAAUAUUGGCAAAACACGUCGCCCCAGUUUGUAUCUGCACUUCAUGAUCUUCACCAGCUCGUCAAGACACCAACUCGAGUUCGCAUAACUCUUUGAGAAGACAAUGAUAGAGAUCCUCGCCUCUUCAAUUGCCCGGAACAGUUCCUCUUUUAUUUCUUCCCCUCUUUCUAGAUCGUCCUCAUCGAUAUAAGCCUGGUAUCCCCUCUCUGUUAAUGCCGCAUGGAGGUGGCCCGUGAAGCCAUUGCGUGUGUCCACACCGCUGAAGCUCAAGAACACGUCGUAAUUCCAAAGUUUUGACUUGGAGGAGGAUGACGAGGAGGCUUCGUGGGUUGUCAUGGGGGUAUCCACCGUUAUGGCACUGCAGUGGUUCAGAUCACGACUGAAUUAAGGAAUGCACAACUUUACUUUUAUGAUUAUUUUCAAUGACAGCUAAAGGUCAGAUCCAAAUGAAAAUAAAAGUUAGGACUUCACAAAACCAAUAAAAAAAUAUAAUUCCCAAGUUACAAAUACCCACCAAAUGAUUCCAGAUAAAGUUUUAAACUCAAGGUCCGGCCCAAAUGAAAUUAAAAGUUAGGACUUCACAAAACCAAUUGAAACAGAAACCAAAUGGUAGAAGUUGAAAAAAAUAUAUGGUCAUGAAUCGAGAACUUCAUCAAACUAAUAGCAAUAAAAUCUCAUAUAAUAUGUCAAAAACCAAAAAAGAGAAAGAGGUAAUUUCAAGACCUUGUAACGCCGAGGCCUCGUACAGUUGUAGUAAUAAUAUAUGGUUGAUGCACCUGUUGCUCAAUCAAAUCCUUUGUCUGGCUAAAAAAAUAAAAUCUAUAAAUACAUUCACGUCCAAUUUAUGAGAAAUCAUGGGAAAGCAAAUGCACUGAGAACGGAAUCAUGAAUAUGUAGAACUUGCCAAAAAGAAAAAGAAAACUUUUUAUAGUGUGCCAAGAACAUCCUCCUACUCCUAGCAAUUUUUUAUGGCAUUAUCCACUUUUCAAUUCAUAAUUCAACCAGCAACUCAAAGUCUAUAGUGUAUGAAAAGGUGAUAUCUUAGUUGAUCACGAUGAUAAUUAAGUAGAUUAAAUGACGACCCAUAAAGCAUACAAAUUCAGAAAAGAAAAGGUACGAAACUGCCAUAAGAAAACGCAGAAUAUAUAAACCGGAAAUCAAAAGAAGAGAAGCGAAAAAGGAAGAAAAAAAAAACCAAACAAAAUUAUUAGGUUUGGGAUAUACCUUUAUCUGAAACGCCACAAUCAUCAAAGUCAAACAUAAACAAUCCAAAAAUUUGUGGAAAAUACCAGUAAAUGCUCAACUAAAAACGAAAGAAAAUGUAGAAUAAGUUUACCUGUUCUCCCCCUAAUUAAACUGGAAUAACAUUCACCACUAAUAUUCUCGUCGUCAUCCUCUUCAGCCUGAAAAAUUUAGUAGAAAUACUCAAUGAAGACGCUUAAUGUAGACAGUAAUAUUAGCAAUGGAGGAAUUGAAUUGAUAACCAAAACUGCAAGACCAAAUGACUAUUUAGGUUCAAAACAGAAACUCGUCUGCUAGAUGUCUCAUCUUUAGGCAGUGCCUUGUUCUUGUUUUUUUUUCUUUUUUUUUUGUUGUUGCAUGUCUUGUGAAGUUCAUGUAAAUCAACAAAAUUGAUACUUUUGACACAACCAACAAUGGAGAGGUAAAAAGUUAAAAACAUUAGGAAUGUCUUCAUUUUUGUAAUGGAUUUUGCAAGUCAGAAAUUCUGUUCGAGAAUUUGCAACCCAGAAAGUCCGCCAGAAAUUAUUAACAAUCACAGAUAAGCACCGAAUGAAGGCCAAUCUAAUAAGCCAAAAUAUGUAGGGCACUAAAGAAAUUACCCAGUAACAAUAAUAGAUAAGCACAUAUGAAACUAAAGAAAUUUUUCAUUACUAUCAACUCCCAAAAAAAAAAAAAAAAAAAACUGUGCAAUCCAAAAAAUGUUGAUACAUAGUUGGAGUAUCAAUGCCUGAAAUUGGUAUUUGAACCACGAAUAUGUUUGUUAGCUUAAAGGUUUGGGUUGAAGUUGUGAAAGGAAAUGUAAUUUCUUAAAAGAAGGAGAGAAUGCAAAGAUGAAUACAGAAUGGUUCAUGUGGCCACCUUGUUAAGGCACAGAAAAAGACAUCAAAUUUUAUACUUGUUGCAUCCAAGGUAUGCAACAGCCUCCCACAGAAAUUACAGAAAUCAAAUCAAGAAAAAAGAUAAUUACACAAUAAUUACACCUUCACUAAGAAAAUAAAUUAUAAAAACGAAGACCGUGAGAAUAAUUACCUUACCUUUGUACGGUGAUUGGCUGCCAAAAAAAAAAAUAAUGUCAUAUACAUUAAGCCUGCCAAUUACUAAAAACAAAACAUUUUGCCAUGAGGAGAAGUAAGAACAUACCGAAACUUGUUUGCAAAUAGAUGAGAAAAACUUAUUCCUGAAACAGAUGGAAAAUUUAUUAGGAAAGAUAAAUCAGCCCACAUGUGUGUAAUCUAUAUACAAAAAACCACUCUCUUCAAUAGCCAAAUCGUUUCACAAAUCCAAAAACACAUAAUUAUAUCUUGAACAAUGCCAAUUAAUGAUUUCCCAUUUACUUAAGCCAACAACAAAGCCAAUGAACUGAUGAAAGAGCAAAACAGAGAAACAAAAAACCUCAAUUAAGUAAUUAAAUGGAGUAUUACUUGAUAGAGCUGGAAAAUUACCCAGUUCCUCAGAGAGAGGAUCAAGAGUGACUGAUGAGAGUGCAGAGAAAAGAAUGAUUGAGAAAUUCAAGUUCUGAGCUCGAAGUUGGGGCUUCCACUUUCCAACUGGGGAAGAAAUAACAGAGAAAACACAGAGAGCCAAUCCACCAAAUAUUAAUCAAAUGGGUUUCUUCUAAUUCAAAAUUUGGACCACCCAAAUUCCAAUGAAGCAAUAACCAUUCAAAAUCCAACAGAUUGAAGCCCUCACAGACUACUAAUUAUCAAUACCCAGCAAUAAAAAAUUUGAAAACAGUAAUAAUGAAGGAAAAAGAAAUUAAAGCUGCAAGCCAUUCUCUAAAUCUCAGGCACCAAUCCAAAUCACCAGUAAUUUGCACAUAAUGAUAAGAAUCUAGCAGUAUUUCCAUUGUUUAAAAACCCAAAUUCAAGAAAUCAUGAAAAAUGGAAACUUUAUUUGGAAAUUGAAGCUUUACCUGCAGAUCAGCAGCAGCAAACGGAAUCCAACGGCAUGUACCUCAAAAGUGAGAGAGAGAGAGUUGAGAGAUGAGUGAGAGAAUCGAUAAACAAAACCCCCCAAAAUCACAAAAGGAAAAUUGAACAGAAAACAAAUUUGCAAAUCCAAAAUCACAAGAACGAAAUUGAAACACCCACACUGAGAAAGCUGCAAUACUCACCAGGAAGCUAGCUUUUCUGGGUAAAAAAAUUGUUCGAAUCGAAUUGAAGAACCGAGGAAAAUUCUACUGGUUCAGUGGUUUUUCCAGCAAGAAAGCACCUUGUUUGUAAUUCGUGAGAGGUUGGACAGCGAGAGAGAAAAACGUAAAGGAAAGGAAAAGCGGAGAAGAAGUCACGAUUAUCGACGCGUGGGUUGCAUUCCACUGUGCCAAGUUCGAAAAUGAACGGGGAAUGGGGAGCUUGGCCGAGGGAGACAGAAUUCGAGAAGCAGCGUUCUGAUUAAUUUUUUUUUUUUUUUUUUUAUGAGAGAGGGAAAGCGGAAUGAAGAGAAUCGAGAAGAGGAUGAACCAUUUCAAUUUUUAAGCGAUGAUCGACGCGUGGGACUUGAGGGCAAAUUUGCCAUUUUGCUGUGAACCCAUGAAGCAUCAGAAUACACAAAAGUCAAGACUUGGCUUGGUUUAUAUAAUUAAUCAAUAAUAUUCCUAACAAGAGCUAGGUCCAUAUAUUAUACGAACAAUACUUAGCUGCUGAAUUCCUACUUUCAACCAAUCAAAUUUUGACACGUGUCCAAAUAAUGAAAUUAUAAAUACAAAUUGAACACGUGUCCAAAUAUGAUUGGGUGAAAAUAGGAAUGGCUGUUGAAUUUUCAGCCGCCAAGUAUUGUUCUUAUACAAGGUUCUAAAUCUAAUAGAUGUUGUGGCUAGACGAGGCUUAUUGACUAGACGGAUUUAAGUAAAUUUAUUCUAUAUUAUAAAUAAAUGUUUUUUUAUACUUAAAAUGACACAUAAUUGUAUUGAGAUAUAUAAAUUGUAAAAUAAAAUAACAUAUAUAUUAUAAAGUAUUGGAACAUGAGAGAAAAGACCUAAAUGUGAAACGACAACUAUAAACAAUUAUUCAAGAUGAACGAUAAAUGAUUCAACCAUUUACAAGAUUCAAAACAUGAGAUCACGAUCUACUGAAUGAUUGCAUUAACUAUUAAGCGGUGCCCUAAUAUAAUACAUCCAAAUGGGGGUGGACCACAUAAUACACCCAAUGGAUCGUUUUUAAGCUACUCCACUGCUAAAACUAUUGCAAAAUGCGUUAGGAUUAUACUUCUAUUAGCUGCGCCUUUCCUUACUAGGCAAAUGGGGGUGGACCACAUAAUAAUGUUAAAACUGCUAUGUCUAUUGGGUUUCUCUGUUUAUUUCAUGUACUAGUUUAUGUUCCUUUUAUUGUAUAAAUAACUUGUACUUGGGAUGUUGCAGAACAAGUUUGAUUUGAAUGAAAUUACUACUAUUGAGUUAGCUGUCAAGCUUCUCUUUAUUCCAAGCUUGCAUUUUGUUCUACCUUUUCCAAUUCUCUACAUCCCUAAGAGGACUGUAUCAGAUGUUAUACACAUUGGAGUUUGAGCAGAAUUCUUUUUGUUAUCUUGUCUCACAUUGCUAGAAUUGAAAAGUUCAUAAUAUAAUAACAUUCGCGUAUGAACUUGAGAAACAACAUACUACUGGUUGGCCUGGAAGGUGCAGUGAAAGAGAGGAAAGGAAGAAAGAAACAAACACGAAAGGACAAGGACUAUCCAAUAGAUUAUAAACAAUGACUUAUUGGGGAUGAUUACGGCUAUUAAAUCAUCAAUAAUGCAUUAUUUUAGUUUGGAAUUUGGAAGCAUUUGAGAAGUAAAAUGACAACAACUACAUAAUAAACAAAGGUGAUUAGAAAAAAGACCCAAAUGUGAAAGAAUAAUUAAAAACAAUUACUCAAGAUUAGUGAUAAAUGAUUCAACCAUUUACAAGAUAUGAACUUAGAACAACAAUCUAUUAGAUUGUUGUAUUAAUGAUUAAGUGAUGCUCUAAGAUAAUAGAUCCAAAUGGGGACGGACCAUAUAAUACACCCAAAUGGAUGCAAUCAUGCCAUAUAUAAACAAUGUUUUGAAAGGACAAGGUAGCUAAAGCUGCCUUUUUAUAUAUGUAAGCAACAACCCUAAAUCUUACUGGAACUAAUUAACUAAUGUAUUUAUUAGACAGUUGGAUUCCUUAGCAAGUGGUUAACUAGUUUUGUUUAGUUUAGUAGUCAGGUCGUAAUUAAUUAGUCAAAUGAAAAUGCAUAUAACACACCCAAAUGGAUGCCAUAUAUGCAUACUAUUUUUGUUUAGUUUAGUAGUCAGGUCGUAAUUAAUUAGUCAAAUGAACCUGCAUAUAACACGCCCAAAUGGAUGCCAUAUAUGCAUAUAUAAACAAUGUUCUCAAAGGAUGAAAUGACUUUCUUGCCGGUAUGGGGGAAGAGGAAAGAAACUAGCACGAAACUGCAGACCCUAUCGAUCCAUUAUAAUAAAUUUCAAUGGUCCAAUUUGUAAGUUAAUUGUGCAACAUAAAAACUUAUUUACAGUUAUCAACUUAACCACGUACCUGUGAAAGACAUUAUCUCAGAAAACUAGGAUUAAGAACCAAAGUUCUCCUGGAACUCUACACAACUUAAGGCUCGCUCAAUGGGGCUUGAGUUUUUUGUAAACUUGCGUAUUUUUGGAAACGCAUCAAAUAGUAGUUAAAACAUCCGGCCGUAAAUAAAGGGUUUGAGAUACCACCAUAGUGAUAUCCCUCAGAUGUGAGUUUCUCACGUAUCAAAUCACUUAUUGUAAGAAUAUUAGUAGUGAAAGUUAAAUACCCGUGUUGGGAAAGGAAGUCGAUGAUGACAAGAGAGAAAUUUGGCUUGAAAAAUGUAUGAUACUUGCAACAUGCGUCACCGGAGUAUCAACUUGAAGCUUUCCAUCUCUCCGUCGUUAAAUGUUUCGUAAGCAGCGUUGUUGAAGUUCUCUAUGUCAAGGGGAAACUGAAGAUGGUUUUAAAUGAAGAAGAAUGGAAAAUAUAAUUUAGAAAAUGAGAAAGAAAAUUAUAAUUGAAACUAAAAAAAUAAGAAAUAAAAAGAGAGAUUUACUAUUUUCUAUGAGGUCUUGGAGUUGGCCGUGACAGUAAGAGAGGAUAAGCGAAUGAAUUGGGCCAAUUACUUGCUCUCUUGGACUUUGGGCUUUUGGAUUGGAUUGGGCCAAUUACUUACUUGGGCCCCAUCCCAACUUAUGACUUUUUGUCGGUCGGUAUUGACUGAGGUGAACGUGCUAAACUAGAAAUUUGAGAUUUUGAAUUAGCAAAUGAAUGUUAAGUAAGAGCGUCAUGAUCAGACUUGUAAGACUGUCUUUGUUGCGUUUUGUCAAAACCGGUCCAUCUAAUUACAAAUUGUAACCAUAUUAGUUGAGUAUAUAUAUGCUACAUCACAUUAGUGAAUAUUCAGUACGGGUGACACAUGGUCAGACUUGUAGGUUGUUCAUUAAGAAGUUACCACGUUCUCAAGAGUGGAGCUAGAGGGGAGCACUUCCCUACCAAAGUGUUUUCCUUCUCCCCUUUACAAGGGAUUUGUGUCACUAUUAGAUAGGAGAUUCGAAUACAAGACCUUGAAUUGAGAGGUCACACUUUUACAAAGCUUCUACGAGCACCUUCUUGUUUACCAAACUCAUUGAGACUAAAGGAGGUCUUAACGCCAUUUUGGCUAAUACUAUUCUAUAUAUUUACGAAUGGUUUUAAGUUUGGGUUUAAUUGGAUAAUCAGAGAGUAGUGCAUCAAACUAUGGAUAUUCAGAAACCGAAAGCAUAAUUCAUAUUCCUCCAACAAGUCCACGCAAAUAACCACAAUCAGAAUGUUAGUUCAUAACUGGCCAUAUAGAACGCAGUACAAAAGCACUAAAAGCGUCCAAGUGAAAGUGCUUUCUCCUCAUGCAGUUUCAUUUAACUUAGUUUCACAUGCCAGUCCGUCACACACUCAACUCCUCAACGUUCGGGUUCAAAGCAUUCUUUAUCCUUUCUGUACGAGAGACAAUAAAUUUAAAGUUCUUGUGAUGAAAUCAUGUAAAACAUUCAGAAAUCUUGAUUUAAUCCUUUCUCAAGAUCAUAGGUUGUGUCAUCUCAACUUAUAUCUUAGGUCUUAUGAGUGCUCGUAAUACACUAAUACGGCACUUGUUUUCUGGCCAGGACAGAAACAAAAUCAUGUAGGAAAUUGUCAUGACAAUAAAGGUCGUACCCAGUGCACAAGGCUCCCGCUUUAAGCAUGACAAUAAAGGAAAUUGUCAUGUAGGAAAUUGUCAUGACAAUGUAAGUGUAAAAUGAGACCGGAAAAACACUAAACAGGAUGACUAUGCUCUCUUAGCGUAAACCUUAACAACAAAGACUAUACCGUAUCUGUCACCAAGGGCGGAGCCACCAUAGGCCUAGGGGGGCGGAUGCCCCCACUGAGAUUUUUCUGAUGCUGGCAUGAUGACCUUCAGAUGCUUGAGAUUCGGCAAUGGUGGAGAGCAGAUCUUUCUAAAUUUCUUUGGAAAGAAGAGAUCCUAAACCAAGCACACAAACAAAAAUUUGAGAACAGCAAAUACAAAAAUUCGACAGUGAUCAAACCCAUCAAGCAUGCAUAUAUAGAUACAUGUUAUAUUUAUAUACCAUAGCAUCAUGAACUUUUAGUGUAAUUUUUCUGAAGCAGUCAAAACUUUCAAGAUAAUCUCGUGCUGCUCAAAUUGAUAUGGUUCUACAGCAGCAAAGCCCACACUGCGAUUUUUCUGGUUCUACUCUCCGAUCUGGUUCUGUAGAAGCAGAGCUGGGUCUUAUUUUAUUUUUUUUCAAAACCAAGCCAAAACGACAUCGUUUUGGUCCUGGUAAAAAAAAAUUUAAAAAAUGUAAACGAAACGGUGUCGUUUCGUAUAUGUUUGAAAAAAUAUGUUCGAGGAUGCCCCCAUUCACCCAAAUGUCUGGCUUCGUCCCUGUCUGUCACAGUGAUAUGCGACCAUAAGCCCAACUCCAAGGAUCAGCUUUCCAAGAACUUUGAAGGCUACAAAUCAAAAGUUACAUGCAGUGAUGACAUAAUCAUGAAAAAAUACAAUCAUAAAUUAAAGGAAAACAUACCGACUUCUAGUUCUGGCAAUUCACUAUUGGCCCAUAUAUUUGAACCACAAUAUGAUGGAUACCCAAUACAGAUCACAAAUAAAAUCUGAGCAGACACAAAGUAUUAUGUUUUGUUUACGCAAAAUCUGUAAGUUCUCAAGUAGGAUAAAUAAAGAUAAACAUAUCCCAGCAUAAAGACGACUUGUCCUGGCUAAUUCUAAGAAAGCUUGUAUCAAAUGUAUGAUAGUUAUUCAUAACUAACACAAACAACAGUUUGGCCAAACAUUACUGGUCUGAGCCAUAUACUGUGUGACCUCAGACAAAACAGAUCCCACAUGUACUCAGAUUAUGAUUGAUGUCCCAAUAGACUUUUAGGCGGUGCUCUGAUAUAAUACAUCCAAAUUGGGGUGGACCAUAUAAUACACCCCAAUGGAUCGUUUUAAGCUCCUACACUGCUAAAGCUAUUGCAAAAUGCGCAUUAGGAUUAUAUUUCUAUUAGAAGCGCCUUUCCUUACUAGGCAAAUGAACCAUAUAAUACACCAAGAUGGAUGUUAUACACGUUAGCGUUUGGGCAGAAUUUUUUUGGUUAUCUCAUUGUCUCACAUUACUAGAAUUGAAAAGUUUAUAAUAUAAUAACGUUCGAAUAUGAACUUGAGAAACGACAUACUGCCGGUUGGCCGUAAAGGUGCAGUGAAAGAGCGAAAAGGAAGAAAGAAACAAACAUGCAUGAAAGGACAAAGACUAUCCAAUAGAUUAUAAACAAUGACUUCUUGGGAUGAUUACAGCUAUUCAACCAUCAAUAAUGCACUAUUUUAGUUUGGAAUUUGGAAGCAUUUGAGAAGUAACAUGACAUCAAUCACAUAAUAAACAAAAGUGAUUACAAAAAAACCCAAAUGUGAAGGAAUAAUUAAAAAAAAUUAUUCAAGAUAAGCGAUAAAUGAUUCAACUAUUUAUAAGAUAUGAACUUAGAACAACAAUCUAUUGGAUCGUUGUAUUAACUAUUAAGUGGUGCUCUAAUAUAAUAUAUCCAAAUGGAGACGAACCAUAUAAUACACCCAAAUGGACCAUUUUUAGGCUCCACUGCUAAAAACUAAUGCAAAACGGGCAUUAGGAUUAAACUAUAAGAACUAGGAUUGCAGGGAAGACAAAACACGCAGGAAAGCUAUAAGACUACACAAGGUUUUCACUGUGAUUGCAUACCCUCAACGUUGUAGGGAGCAACCUUUUUAUAAUCACUUUUCAGAUUACAUCAGGGUUUCAAAAACCCUAUUAACAAGCUUACAUUUUGAAAUUCAAAUACUAUAACUAAUUCUGACAAAACAAAUAUUUAAAAAUUCAAAUGAUUUUAACAGAAGCUCUACUUGAUAAGUGUUGUUGACUGAGUAAACCAACUGAAGAGUUUCUGUUUGAACAGGAAACUUGACUCCGUCUAACAUAAACUUGUAUUAGCUAGCUUUCCUAGUCAAAUGAACCAUAUGAUACACCCAAAUGGAUGCCAUCAUGCCAUAUAUAACCAAUGUUUUGAAAGGACAAGGUACCUUAACACUGUCUUUUUAUAUAAUGUAAGCAACAACCAUAAAUCUUACACAAAUCCUGGUAAGUCUACCACAAGUGUCAAUCCUUAUCUCCUUAUCAUUCCACAUCACCAAGUGUUUGCUCUCGUAUAGAACUUACAAAAAUCUCAUUUAGUUUCAUCUAACUUAUUUUUCACAACGGUGAAUAUAUUUCAAUGGCUUGGUUUUCACAUGCCAGUCAGUCACAUGCUCAACUCCUCAAAGUUCGGGCUCAAUGGCUCGAAGAGAGCUUCCACUUCACUCUGAUUCACCUCCCUCUUACUUUGACGGGUUCCACUUCGGAUUCUGCAUUGACAAAAAACAGAAGCAAAAGAUUGUUGAGAGUUGUCCCACGUUGGUGAGGGACAAGGCUUGCUAUGUACUUAUAUGAAUUUGGGCUACUUUCAAUAUUGUCAAUUGGUUUUAUGGUGGAACCUCAAUUUCAUCAUGGUAUCAGAGCCAAGUUGUUGACGUGUGAAGCCCAAUGGCCACACGCACUUCACGUCACCUAGCUGUUGUCCACGUGUAGGCUUGAAAAUCCGUCACACGUGCGGGGACGUGUUGAGAGUUAUCCUACAUUGGUGAGGGACAAAGUUUAGCUAUGUGCUUAUAUGAUAUUGGGCAACUUCCCAUAUUACCAAUUGAUUUUAUGAUGAACCUCAAUUUCAUCAAAGAUAACGACCUGUUCUCAUACAAGGAAAGUAAGAUGAUUAUAUAACUGUAGGUCUAGUACAGGCUGUAAUGGUUUAUGUUGCAGCAACUCCGUCAGCAAGUGAUUUUCAAGUAAGGAAUCUUGAGCAUAAUUAACGAACCUGAUCCUUGUCCACCAAAACUGCCCGCACACCUUCAGCAAAAUCAUUCCGCAAAGACGAUCUUCUAGCAACGCGAUAUUCAGUUUUCAUCACACCAGUUAGCUGGUAUGGAUCAAGUAAAGCACAUGUUACUCACUCAGAAAAUGUGAAAUACUACAACACAAAAUCUAUCAAAAGGAUGCAACCUUGAAGAGCUUCAUUUGCCCACUCCACCACUACAACAGAAACAAUUUGAUAGAAAAUACUUGACAGCCACGUACAAGCCUCUCAAUAGAAGAGUAAGACAGAUUUCAUUUCAUCAUCGAUAAACAAAUGGCAUUGACAAACUUACCAGUAGCAUCUGAACUCUGCUGCUGCUUUUUAAGUUCAUCAAUUGUCACAAGAACCGACUUAUUUGCACCAAAUGCUGAAGUUAUUUGAGGUAAAAGACUCCUGAGCUGCGCUUCGAAUCUGGGUUGCUGCUGAAUUUUGCCACAGUUGUAAUUGACAACAUUGACAAUUGUCUCUCUCGCAAUAGUACCUUCGUAAUGAUCCGCUACUGACCUUGGCCCGAUAGGCCAAUACCAAAGGCCAUUGUUAUGGCCACGAAGCUUAUACGUGGCUGUCAAGCCCGACACGUGAAUAGCAUACUCUACUACUGUGUUACAUUGUGAGAAUUUUAUCCAAAAUUAAUUGACAAUAAGUGAAUAAGUUGAAAGAUUAUGUAUGACUUUAAUUAUGCAAAGAGUGAAGAGGCAAUUUUCACCAAACCCCAGUAAAAAAUUUGGGCCUCACAAAUCACUAAACCCAAUAUGCUUUUCUCUUAUGCCUUUCGUUCAUGGUUUGAUAUUCUGGCGUCCGAGGACCCUGACAUGACAAGUUCCAACCUUUUUGUUCAAUUUCUUGACGAAACAAUCACAUUUACCCUUACGGCACGGCACGGUUCCGGGCAUAGAAUAUGGGUUGGGUUCCGCCACAGAUCCAACACUAAUUAGCACUGUAGAGAAGGAAGUAAAGACAACUAUUGAUUUCUUACAACGUAGCGAGUCUCUUGACAUGACUCCUGCUGUUUUGUUCUUAUUUCACGUCCUGUUUCUCGAGCUUGGUGUUUCCGGCAGGGCCGGUCUAAAGAUUUUUGAGGCCCGGAGCGACGUAAAAAAAUAUGCCCUCACUUAUAUAAGAAAAUUAUUUGUUUUCACAUGUAAGACAUCGAUAAAAUUAUACUUACAAAAACACUUAAAACUUAAUAAUUUAGAAACAAGGAAAAACUAAUUUAUUUUGUAUCGUGAGAAUGAUCCAAAAAAACUCUGGGUUUACAAGUAGAUAGAUAUGGGUUUACAAGUUGCGGAUUGCUUUGCUAACUAUGAUGUUGAUCUGGCUGGGGUUCAUUGGUGAGAUUCUUGAUUUCCUUGUGCUACUUUGACAUAUCACCAUAAGUUGUCUUUUUUGCCUUGUUAUAGUUUCGUGUGGGGUUUUUUUUCUUCUUCUAAUGCUGAUUGGGUUCUUUUCUUCCAACUCCUGCCCACUCAUUAUUGUCUGAACCACACCUAGUAUUACCCUCAUAUCCACUAAAACUUCAAGCUUUACCAAUUUGUCACAAGCGAAGAUGGUAGCUCCCAACACCAAUGAGGUUCCAAACAAUUACGAUCGAAAACGCGAAGUGAAAGCUUUUGAUGAGACAAGGGAAGGCGUUAAGGGUCUUGUUGAUGCCGGGGUAGCCGAGGUUCCUAGAAUUUUUCAUCAACCACCACAAUUGGACGAUCAGUACUCCAUCAACAAUACAAGCACUGACUCAGAAGCCACCCAGUUUAGCAUUCCGCUAAUAGACCUUGAAGACCAUGGUAAUCCAACUAAGCGCAAUGAGAUUGUUGCAAAGUUGGAGAGGCAUCAGAGACUUGGGGCUUCUUUCAAAUAGUGAAUCAUGGGAUACCUGUAGGUGUUCUGGAGGCGAUAAAGGAUGGGGUACGUGGGUUUUAUGAGCAGGACACUCGAGUCAAGAAAGAGUUUUUACACUCGUGAUCACUCUAAACCUUUGUUUUACAAUAGCAACUUUGAUCUUUAUAGUUCACUGGCAACGAAUUGGAGGGAUACUUUUAAGUGUUACAUGGCUCCAUAUCCUCCUAAGCCAGAAGACUUGCCAGAAGUAUGCAGGUAUUUGACAACCCAAUUCUCUGGUUUAAUUGGUGACAGUAACCUGGUGCAGAUUCCUUCCUUGAUGGAUUAGAUCAUUAAACUCCAUACUUUUGACAAGUUUAAUGUGCUUUCCUGGUUUUCAACUUGCAGAGACGUACUGAUCGAGUAUUCAAAGCGAGUAAUGGAGUUGGGGAAAUUGUUGUUUGAGUUGUUGUCGGAGGCCCUUGGGCUAAAGCCAAGCCACUUGAAUAGCAUAGAUUGUAGUAAGGGGCUACAGGUUUUAGGCCAUUACUAUCCUGCUUGUCCACAGCCAGAGUUAACUUUGGGCACAAGCAAGCACGCUGAUGAUUCCUUCCUUACGGUCCUUUCUGCAAGAUCAUAUUGGUGGUCUGCAAGUUGUUGAUCGUCAAAAUAAGUGGAUUGAUGUACCCCCUGUGCCUGGGGCUUUAGUGGUGAACAUUGGAGAUCUUUUACAAGUAAGCACACGUAUACAAUUGCCCUUUUUUUUUCUCCCUAAAAACUACUAUUAAAUUAAGAGAAUAGUAUCGUAAACUAAGCUAGUUUGUUAAUGACUAAUACUCGAGACAAGCUUUGGUCGCAUGUUAGCGUUCUCUUAGAAUAUGUCUUAGAAUUCUUCGAUUAUCAUAAUUAGGUCUUUUAUGUUCAAUUCUUUUUGGGAUUUUCAGCUCAUAUCAAAUGAUAGAUUCAAAAGCGUAGAACACAGGGUAUUGGCGAACCGUGAAGGUCCAAGGAUAUCCAUUGCCAGCUUCUUAGCACAGGUUUGCUACCAUUUACAAAUCUCUAUGGACCUAUUAAGGAGUUGGUAUCAGAAGACAACCCUCCAAAGUACAGGGAGACUACUGUGAGGGACUACGACACCCAUUUCUAUGACAAAGGCCUAGAUGGAACCUCUGCCUUAUCUCAUUUUAAGAUCCCAACUUAGACAUGGAGGAGCACAGAAGCAGAGACCGCAACGAACAAAUCCUGUCUACUAAAUAAUUUGGCAUGAAAAUAUAUAUUGGUUUGUUUAAUCUGAAAGCACUUUCGCACCACAAAAUUCUGGAUAUGCAUAUUAUUUUGUUUUCUGUUUGCAUAUGGUCUAAUAUACUUGUAGAAAGGGUUGGGUUUCUACCCUUGCGUCUCAGGUACGAAACUUCCCCUCCUAUAAAUUAUUGUAAUAGCUUCGAACUCUCUAUCUUCCGCAAAAAAAAAAAAAAAAAAGGGGGGUUUUCUAACACUUCUAUUCAUCAUGUUUACAGUUUUUGUGGCAUGCGCUUAACGAAUUCAACUGUGGUUGUGGUUGCGGUUGCGGUUGCAUAUCAAUACUAUUAUACCAUAAGUGUGGGCUUGUUUGAGAAUGUUUUUGUUUGUAAGAAGCGGUUUUACACAGUAGUUAAAAUAUAUAUAUGUAGAAAGAAAACAUACAAGUUGGUUGACAAAAGGGGAAGAAAAAUUGAGAGAUACAGAGAAUAAGAAAAGAAGAAAAUCGAUGCAAAUUUUAAUAUAUAUGUAGUAGAUCCAGGUAUCCAAAGGAUUCGGGGCUAAUGUACCUGCAUUGAUGAAAAAACAAAGAUGAGAUUUUUUGAAACGCAUCACAUAGUAGUUAAAAUACCUGGCGGUAAAUGAACGGUUUGAGAUAACGCCAUAGUGGCAUCCCUCAGGUGUGAGUUUCUCUCGUAUCGGAUCACUUAUUGUAAGAAUAUCAAUAGUGAAAGUUAAAUACCCGUGUCGGGAAAGGAAGUCGAUGAUGACAACUGACAAGAGAGAAAUUUGGCUUGAAAAAUGUAUGAUGUUUGCAACAUGCGUCAUGAAAACUUAAGUGUCAUGAAAACUUAAGUGUAAAAUGCGACCGGAAAAACACUAAACAGGAUAGCUAUGCUCUCUUAGUGUAAACCUUAACAACAAAGACCAUACCGUAUCUGUCACAGUGAUAUGCGACCAUAAGCCCAACUCCAAGGAACACCUUUCCAAGAGCUUUGAAGGCUACAGAUCAAAAGUUACAUGCAGUGAUGACAUAAUCAUGAAAAAAUACAAUCAUAAAUUAAAGGAAAACAUACUGACUUCUAGUUCUGGCAAUUCACUAUCGGGCCAUAUAUUUGAACCACAGUAUGAUGGAUACCUACAAUACAUAUCAUAUCACAAAUAAAAUCUGAGCAGACACAAAGUAUUAUGUUCUGUUUACGCAAAAUCUGUAAGUUCUCAAAUAGGAUAAAUAAAGAUAAACAUAUCCCAGCAUAAAGACGAUUUGUCCUGGUUAAUUCUAGGAAACCUUUAUCAAAUGUAUGAUAGUUAUUCAUAACUAACACAAACAACUGUUUGGCCAGACAUUACUGGUAUGAGCCAUAUACUGUGUGACCUCAGACAAAAUAGAUCCCACAUGUACUCAGAUUAUGAUUGAUGUCCCUAUUGACUUUUACCUUUGAAUUAGAGAUUCAUCUGUUGUAGGGCUAUCCAAUAUUGGAUUUGCAUAAAACGAGCCUUUUAACGUAUCUGCAAAACCAGAACACAAACGGAAAAUGAAUGAUCCUAAGUUCUUAGAGUUUCCAAAGAAACAAAAUUUAAAACAAAGAACAUAAAGUGAUACCAGGCUUUCCAGAUUCCAGCUUCUCUUUUUCCAUGACUCCAUCCAAAAUUGUACCUAAACAUGGAUGGCAGGUAAAAAGAAGAUAAGCAAUAAAACUUUGUAAAGAUUCCCAAGAAAAGCAAUAAAACUACGUAAAUUAUUAGUUAAUAAUGUCAAGACCAUAGUCUCUGAAAAUCCAAGAGUUGAGAUGCGGCAGGGAUUUUUGGAAUUUUUCUCUAUUGUAAGUAAAACAUAGAUUGAUGUUUGUGUUUACACGAAAAUUAUGCCAACGGCUUAAGAGAAAUCAAAGUAUAACAAUGGGACUAAAAUGACUUACCUACUAUGAGGAUCUUCAAGUUCCUUCUUCACCUCUUCGGGCAGAUUGGCUAAUCUAAUAAACAAAAAGAAAACUCCCAUGAGCAGUGCUAUAACAAACUAUCUUCCUAAAUUCAUUAUGAAUUGCAGUUAAAACUUAAAAUGAACAUGAAAAUCCUACGUAGAAGGGAUAUACCUAGGUGACAAGCCUAGAAGAUUCCCGCGCAAGGAAGAAUAUCCCGGAACCUGCAAUUGAAAACUCAAAGAAACAAUUACAAAGAUGCUAGAAAGAAAAUACGUAUCAGUUUACAACAAAACGCUAGCUCUCACAAGAAUCGAUUAGGUAUGAAGCAUCAAAACAACAGCAUGAGACAUCAUAAUUUAUGAGCUAUGAAUGGAAUAAUGGAGCAAAAUAUCGUUGCCCAAACAGCACAAUCUACAAUCUACAUGACGGAGAAAGUACCCCGACAUUACAUAUGCAAGUUCAUGUGGUUUAUGUGGUUUAUCUUUUUAACCGAUUCGUUAACAAAUUCUUUCUGCACAUAUAGUUUUAACUUACCAAAACUGGUAAUGGAAGAGAUAAUCAGUAAUUAACAACGGUAAUCGCAUAACGAAAUCAUACUUGAGUGAUUGAUAGGAUUCCCAACCCAUUUGGUCCAAAUCCUUCUUCAAUCUUCACUGACAAAUCUUUGUCCCUGUCCUGUAUCAAUCCAAAAUCAAAAAACGAUAAUUAGAAAAAUCGAAUUCUCGACAUGAUCGACGAGUUAAAACAUAGCAAUUAAACAAAACUAUGAAUAAAACAAUUAGAUUCUGUUUGGUUGCUGAGAAUGAAGAGAAUAACAACCACAAAGUCAACUGAAAUAAAAUUUUGCUCUAACUUCAACGAAUUCUCUUGAGUUUCUGAGCACCCAAACAGAAAAAAAAAAAUUAUAGGCAAUCAAACCAAACUCUCAUGCUCAAUUUUCUCGGCAACCACAAAAAGAACUUAGAGGAGGGGGAGAGAGAGAGUUACUUGGAGCUCGGAGUAGGAUAUGGUGACUGGUGUGACGGUGGGGACGACGGGGUCGGAGGACGGAGGCAUAGUUCGACAAUAAAUUUGGCGGGAAAGACGGCGGUUGGAGUGUGACGAUGGGGAAGAAUCCGUGGGAACGAAGAGGAAUUUUGGUGCGGAAGGAGGGUCUUUAUAUCGGAGGGAGGGAGGGAGGGAGAGAGGUUGAGAGCGAAAGGCGUGAUUGUCAAUUUCAAAUUUUUUUUUUUUAGGAAUAAAGAAAGAAAGAGAGGUUGAGUAUCAAUUCCCUUUCCCUCCAAACCAAAGAAUACAUUCACGAUCAUGAUGUGUGUGGCAAAAAUUAAAGGUGGAGACAAAUAAAUUAAAGAGAAUUUUCACGAAAAGUUCAUGGUACGAUUUAUUUUAAUGAAAAAUUAUAUUUUUAUACUAAAAAGUCAAUUUUGAUACUAUUUACUUUACAUUUUAUUUUUGUCAUUAUCGUUAAAACUAAAAACAAUUGAAGCAUUUUUUUACUAUUUUUCCUUAUAUUAAAUAGGUAUAAGUAUUAGUUAAAUUUAAAAUUAAUUGUGUACUAUUAAAAAUUUGUUUGAAAAUGUUUUUAAAAUGACUGAAAGCAUUUUUGAUUAAAAUGUUUUUUAAAUCAAUCCUUAGUAAAACCAAGUGGAUUCUAAAAAGUCAUUUGGAUUACUUUCUACAAAAACCACAUAUCUUGAGCACUUGAAGCACUUUUGGAAUCCAAAAUUAAUUUAACAAAGGUGUGUCUAGUCUUUUUAAUUUUUGAACAAACAAUAUUAUUUAUUUUAAGGGAGGAGAUGAGCUUAACCUCACAAUGGACUAUCAUAUUAAUAAUGUUGUUCAAAUCCACCUUUAUCCAAAAUCAAAUCUAAAACAUCUUACUCACAACUGAAGAGGAAUACCUUUACAUCGUAAUACUAAGCGACAUGUUUUUUUAUUUUUAAGAGACGUGUUUAUUCAUUUUUAAAAGACUUAAAAACCAGCACUAAUUUGUAUUAAAUUCUAAAACCUUUGAAUUGGGAUGUAAUAUGCAUUGGGUCUUUAAUAAUAUUUAAGUUGUUUUCGGCAAAAAAUAAGGGAUUCAAUUGGGAAAAAUAACAAAAUAUGAAAUAAGGAUAUUCUAAUUAAGGUUUUUAUUAAUUAUUUAAGGCGGAUGGUUCAUGUGAAGAUUAUGAAACGCUUUAAUUCUCUAAUGUGCGAUUCCAUUUCGAUCCAAAGUUAAACAGUGACAAAUACAAUUAAGGUUGUUAAUUUUUUUUGGUAAAAACAAUUAAGGUUGUUAUUAAUAUCAAUUCAUGUAUAUUUCCGCAUGUGCCACAUUAUUAAGUUAGGCAGUGAAAAAUAUAUAUCGGAUGUUAUGAGAACAUGUGUGGCUGUCAAGCCCUACACGUGAAUAACAUGCUCUCUACUGCUUUAUUACACCGUGAAGAUUUUAUCCAAAAUUAAUUGACGAUGAGCGAAUAAACUGAAAGAUUAUGCGCAACUUUGAUUAUGCAACGAGUGAAGAGGCAAUUUACACCAACCUCCAGUCAAGAAUUUGGGCUCACAAUCACUAGCCAAUAUGCUUUUUUCUCACAUUUACCCUGACACGGCAAGUUCAUAGUUCAAUAUUCUGGUUCUGGUGUCCUAUGACCCUGACACGGCAAGUUCCACUUUUUGUUCAUUUUCUUGACGAAACCAUCACAUUUACCCUUACGGCACGGCACGGUUCCGGGCAUGGAGUAUGGAUUGGGUUCCGUUGCAGUCCCGACACUACAUAGCACUGUAGAGAAGGAAAUACAAAGACAACUUUGGAUUUCUUACAACGUAUUGAGUCUCUCGUCAUGGCUCUUGCUGUGUUGUUCUUAUUUCACGUCCUGUUUCUCGAGUUUGGUGUUUCCGGUUGCAAAUUUUGGUUCGGCAGUGUAGUGCUCAGGAGAGGGGACUGUCUCACGUUGUUCCAAGCAGACAGAGGCGGUUGACAACGAUUGCGACAAUGUGUUUUUCUACUGGGAGAACAUACAGCAGUCAACAGUUAUCUUUUCACAACCGUCUUCAGUAUUUGGAGGCACCUCAAGAAAUUAUCAAGGACAAACGAAUGUAGAAAAGAAGAAAUAUCAAAGUUAGUUGACAAAAGGGGACGAAAAAUUGUGAGAUACAGAUAAGAAGAUAAGACGAUACUCGAUGCAAAUUUUAACGAGCGAUACAGAGAAGAAACAGCUGCAUUUGGAGACAGCUGCUUUAGUUGCCUUGUUUGUAACAUUAGCUUUCUGCAAUUCCGGGGAAGAAACAGGAGUAAAAAAAACAGAGUCAGGCAGUACCAAAAAAGAAAAAUAUACAAUUAGGAACAAUCGUCACUUCUCAAACUUUGUAGUAGAUCCAGGUUUCCGAAGGACUCGGGGCUAAUGUACCUGCAUUAACAAGAAACAAAGAUCAGAUUUGUGGAAGGGAGUCGCAUAGUAGUUAAAAUACUUGGCCGUGCAUGAAUGGUUUGAGAUACCAUCAUAGAGGCAUCCUCCAGGUGUGAGUUUCUCUCGUAUCUGAUCACUUAUUGUAAGAAUAUCAGUAGUGAAAGUGAAAUACCCGUGUCGGGAAAGGAAGUCAAUGAUGACAAAAGAGCAAUUUGGUUUGAAAUAUUGUGUCCUCGGUAUGAUGCUUGCAACAUGCAUCACCGAAUCCACUUGAAGCUCUCCACCUCUCCAUCUGUUAAAUGUUUCAUAAGCAGCAUUGUUAAAGUUCUCUUUAUUUGGGGGGAUAUUGCAGAUGGUUUUGAAUGAAGAAAGGCAAAAAUUCAUGCUGAAGGCAUAGUUUACAACUAGUAUUUGUAAAAGCUAAGCUCUAAAGUGAGCCUUGAUUCUUUGGCACAAAUAGCUAAAGUUUUGAGAUGGGACAAAAUGGGUCCACAUACAGCGCAUCCGAUGGUGUUGAAAUCCUUUUCCCAGUAAGUCAAAGAUAAGCACCAAGAAAGACAUGACAGUGUUAAACUUAAAACAAAUACAGAACUAAGAAUUGAUGCAUGAAUCAAACAGAGAAAUGGUACAGGCCAUUCUCUUUAUAUUCUUAUAAUCUAAACAUUUCUCCUUAUCAACACUGGAAAAACAGCUUGCUUCAGUCAUAGGAAAUAAAUUGCGCCUAGAGUAUAGAAAAGACAUACCUACAGAUCCUCCUCCUGGACUCUUUGCCGCUAUACGUGAAAACCCAACAUCUGGGAACAACCAAAUUACAUUCUCUGGCAUGGCAAGAACAGUCCUCUGAAAUGUAUCCAUACAAAGUUAAGACACAAAAAACUCAAAAAGGCAAUGUAAUUCACAACAUUGACAAUCUCUGUCUGACAAGGCAAUAAUACCUCUGUAAUGAUCCGGUAGCGACCGUGACCUGAUAGGCCAACACCAAAGCCCAUUGUUAUGCCAUCCAUGAAGAUAGGGCUUCUUGUACUCAGAGAUUUUGCAUAUUAGAGAAUACUCAGCAGUGAAUACCUGAAAAACAUGCAGCACAAGUAUCAUACCGGUAGCCUCUCAAUCUUAAGAAAUGGUAGCUUAGAAAAGAUAUGAAUCCUAUCCAACCACUACAAAUCAUAUUACCCAAGUUCAAGCAAAAUCACGACUAAACAAAUGAUCAGAUGUUGUAGGUUGCCCGAGAAUGUCAAACAUGAAAUUACAAGAAAAAAAACAAUCGUAUGUAUUGAACAUUAAUAAAUACUUGCUGAAAGCACAAUCUUAGCUGCCAUUUAUGACAUUUAUACGAGAUUGAAUAGCCAAAGCAAUUAAAGAAGUAGCAGAACUCAUAUAAGUGAUUUUCACUUUGAACUUUUAGGCUUAUCAGCAAAUACAUCAUUACGAUUCUAACGCAUGAAUUUUGUUAAAAGGGGCUUGCUUGCUUGUAUUAAGGCUUAAUCAUCAAUGAUUUUGCAAGGGUCAAUCGUCUUGAUAGUUGUAAUCUAUGCACUAUGAAAAUUACCAAAAUUACAUCUUAUAUGGUAGAGAAGGAAGUCAUCUUAUAUUAUCUGGAUUUUAGAAAACGGUGUAAGGUUAUAAGUCUGUUAUUCUAUAUAGUUUAAAGGACACAAUUAGACAACAAUCAUAUUUGGUGGUUGGUUUUUGGCCGUGAUCUGCUUCACAUCACCGCCCGCAGGUAAUCUAAAUCUGGGUUAUUACUUAUCAAUGAAUCAAAGUGCCAACUUAUCGGACACCAUCUAUCUCUAUAUGGCAAAAAAAAUAACACAAAAAGGAACAAUGAAGUGAAACAAUAAACAACAUGACAUGAAACAGCACGAACAUCAAAGACCAACAAUCUAUCACAUAAGCACCUAAACAAGAAACAACUUUAGUUCAAAGCAAAGCGUAAUGUAGAAACCUUCGGCACAAGAGGCGUGUUUUUGUCCUUUUGAAUUUCGGCAACAACAACUUUAAUAUCCUUACCUGCACUUACCAUGAUUGCUCACUCUCAAAACCUUACCUAAGAGACCCCAAAACCAAAAUAACUGCCAAAAGAGCUGAACAUACAUAUCUAGAAAAAACUUAUUCAACUACAUGCUAAAAUGGAAGUGUAAAAUUGCCAGGAAAGAUAAGAAACUAUUCAAAUACGAGUUCUGGGCGUUACCGCCACAAAAGGCACGAGCCGAGCGGCUAUCAACAAGAACACACUUCACAUUUGGGUGAGAUUCCCAUUCAUCCAGAUAGCUCUUGUAUUUCACAUCCAAAUCUGCAUUUUCCAACAAUUCCCACUUAAACAGAAACACAAAAUUCUUCCAAAAAAAGCUAACUUCUUCGAAAUUUGAAUCCAACGUUUCGUCUUAUAACAAAUGCAAUAACAUAGAUUUGUAAUCAAUACGAUGCCAUAAAGUUCAAGCUCAAAAAUUCAAAUCAUCUCCAAAUCAAAUGCAAUUACAGAUAUAUACAUAUAUACAUAUACGUUUGUGUGUUUAUCUACAUACCUAGGUUUAUGGCGUUGAGAGCUCGGGGGGUGACCGAGGGUGAUGACGGCGACGCCAAAGGUGCGGAGAAGGCGAGGGGAUUUGGAGGGUUUUGUAAAGAGGGGAUUUGCUCAGAAUUUGGGUCGCUCGUCCCUCUUAUGGGAGUGACUCAAAAAUCGAAAAAGUUGAAAUUUAUUGAUUGUGAUCUGACUCAAACAUGUGAUGAUGACGAUGCAUCACCACCUUGGUUGUGCCUCUGGAUCAAAAACCUACCAUCACCAUCAAAAUCGUGCACAUUUUCCUUCAUAGGCUUGUCCCAUACUAGAUUAACCCCUGUUCCCUUAAUUGUCACAUUAUCAGAUGUACUGUUUCAAAAGUUAUAUCAACUUUAUCCCCGCUUUGCAAAUUGAGCUUAUCGUUCGAUAUUUGUCCCUGCCAAAGAAAACAUUUUCCAGAUACAUUGUGCAUUUUUAUAACCCAAUCUUCCUUGCCUAUGCAGGUCUGCAACUCAGUACGCUUGGUAUUAUUUAUAUCAAUACUGGCACGAGGAUGACCAUCUUUGCAUGUGAAAUAAGGUUUGCUAUGAAUUGAAUAUUUAGGAAUAAAGCAGUAAAAGCA
RNAcentral lists this long non-coding RNA (79816 nucleotides) under Malus domestica (apple). RNAcentral's name for it is "long non-coding RNA (MDOM_LNC001352)". Lineage: Eukaryota; Viridiplantae; Streptophyta; Magnoliopsida; Rosales; Rosaceae. The record is from RNAcentral.